UUGGAGCCAGUGCAGAUACUUCUAAACUGCAGAGACUGGAUGGAAUUGGUUUGUUCUAAUGGCACAAUCACUAUGUGUAUUUGCACAGUCCUUCCAAUAGUCUAAGAUAGUAGAUAAUUGAUUUUUUUAUCCCUCCAUGACAGGAGAUUCUACGUGUGGCUGAGAAGGGAGGUGAAGAGGCUCAUAACAAUGUCUGAGUUAGGCAGCCGGCCGACUCCAGUGCUGGGGAGAGACCUAUGCCAUGGAACCCUGAAGACUUGCUGAGUCACUCAGAAUCAGAACAGAAGGAGGGCAAGCCUUCCUAGCAGGAAUUGUAUCGCCUAAACACAGAGAGGAACAGAAACAAAGGCCAAGCCUCUGUAAGUUGAGAGAAUGGAGGCAGAGUGCCAACUCUGAAGAAACCCGGGUUUGAAUAAGGAGUGGCCGCUUAGGAGACGAGUACCAUUAAUUGUGAGCACAGCCCUCAGCCGUGGAAAAACUGCAGACUUUACGUUCUAGAUAUCUUGGGCAGCAAUAAAGACUUUCUCUCUAAACAAGCAGGGCUUCUAUACUUUGGUAGUACCCCACAUGGGGAAGAUUAAAAAGAGCUAAGUUUUCUUUUUUCUUUUUCCAUUGUAAUUAUCACAUGAUUGUGUGUGUACACACACACACACACACACACACACACACACACACUACAUCUGUGUGUAGAUAAACACAUUUAAAUAAUAGCAGCUGCCAUUGAUUGUAAGUUCUUUGCACAUUCAGUUUCUCAAGUCAGUCCUUAUUUUACAAAGGCUGAAAUUGACUGAACCCACAAAGUUAGACAGAGAACCCAAGAUCAAACACAAAAGUACCUGACUCAAAUGUGUGUGUGUGUGGGGGGGGUAGGGUGUGGGGGAGGAUUUGUUUUAUUUUAUCCUUCUUUUUCUUUUAGGUGUGUGUGUGUGAGAGAGAGAGAGAGAGAGACAGAGACAGAGAGAGACAGAGAGGGUUUCUCUGUGUGCUGUGUGUACAUGCUUUUUAGGCUGUGUUGAGUACACAUGGAGACCAGAGGUCGACAUGGAAUGUCUUCGAUUGUUUUUUUCCUCUGUAGCUUUUAAAAUUUUAUAUUGUGUUUGAAUGUAUGAGACUGUGAUCACGUGUCUGCCAUCAUGAAGGUGUGGAAGUCAGAGGACAAUCUGUUCUUCUACCAUGUAGGUUCCUCGAAUUGAACCCAGGUCAUCAAGCUUGGUGGCAAGCGCUAAACAGGUGUGUAAGCUUUAGUUGAAUGCAAGGCCUUCCUCACAGGAAUGUAGGUAGGCUACAGGCUAUGGGCAUGCAGUGAAGAGGGAGAAGGGAGUUGUGUAGAAUGCCAAGAUUCCUUUCAUGAAUUUUUCCAAGUCCAGCUUGGCUAGAGAGAAGAUGGAGAGGACCAGAGGGCAGGGGGGUGAAUGGAAACCUAUCCCCCACCCCAAACUGCUGGCAAUCCUCUAUCUUGAAUGUGUGUUUACUCCAGGAGGGGCAUUCCAGGUUGCCCCCACCUUCACUAACACCUUGGGGCAGUGAACAAUUAGAAUGAACAGUUUUUCAUCAAAUGCCCCUCCAUAAAACCAUUUCCCAGGAAAUGGAACACAGCGUGGAGCCAGCUGACUGCAUUUUCCACCAACAAUGAGCCUUGUGGGGAACAGGUACUAUAUUUAAAUGAUUUUCCUCCUGCUUUCCGCCAAGUCUGUCUUUCAAGGAGACCUACCAUUGCUGUGCUGGGGCUCCCUCCCCUCUGGCCAUCAGGAUUGGAAAUGGGAAUAGGCCCUGUCUCUUCAACACCCAUGUGUAAAACACCAAUAAACAAACCAGCAAAGACCUACAGGCCUAAUUGCCUUUUAACUCCACCAAGAUGAUAAACUCCCAGAGCAAGAAGGAAAGACUCCCAGGGAUUUAACAAGUUUAUCUGCAGGCCACUUGAACGUUUUCUGUCUGCCUACACUUCAGUGAGUUCACUAAUAAAAGGAAAAAGGGCCUGAGCCUCAAACCCUUCAAUGACUAAGAAAUCACAGAUUUAAAACGUAUGGCCAGCAAAAAACCAACCCAUUAGCCAAGUGUUACUUUAGGUGUUUGUAAAGGCUGAAGUGAGGAUAGCAGGCACCGCUCAUUCCCAGCCCUGGCCACUUCCCUUCAGAGAAUUGCUUGCAAAACAACCCAAGCCCCCUCACAAGGAACCUGCAAAACCUUUAAGUUUAAGUCAAGGGACUGUAGUGCCAUGGAGAGCAGAAACCCACACUGGUGAUGGGGAAGGGUCCCCAGCAGCUUCUUAACAAGGGCAUCUCUCCUUGAAGGGAUUUCUUAGUUUUACUUAAUGACUGUUUCUGGUCAUUUACAACAUACCAUUCAGAAAACUAACUAACUAACUAACUAACUAGCUAACUAACUAAUCCCAAGCAUUCAGAACUUACUGAAGUAAAACUGAAAAAAAUAAAAUCAAACAGAACUAAACCACUUUCAAGUAAGUAGGAAGACUGGAGACCGGAAGUCGGGGCGUGGCCUCCCUGGGAAGCUGGUUCCCAAUGGUUAGUUACCUUUUAUGAAUGUGAAAUUUCACUUUGUGAGUUUCUAAAGAAAUGAUAGGGUAGAUAGAGGCUAAGCAUAAGGAGCCUGAGGAGUAACAGGAGGCAUUUUAACAAGUACCCUGUUUGUCCUUUAGGACUGGAGAGAGAAAGUAAAUGAUUUUGGAGGCACACAAUGGAUGUAAAUAGGCAAACAACAAAGAGCAGUUAUAAAAACCUCCAAAAUAUGAUUUCAUUCUUUUUCAUCAGGCUAGAUAUAGAAAACUAAAAACAAACAAACAAAACCCCCAAACAACAACAACAACAACAACAAAACCCAACUAGUUCCCUGAAAUGUAAGUAUUUCUAUGGGUAGAUUUAAGGGAUUUGACUUUCUUACACAGAGACUUGAAUUAAUUGGUAAUCUGGUUAAAUUUCUCAGUGCUGGGCUAAGCAAGCACUCUGCCACUGAACUUUUAAGUUAUUUAAUAUUUCUUAUUUUACAUGUAUUGAUUUGUGUGUGUGGGUGUGUGGCAUGAAGGGGGGAAACACAUCCCCAGAGGCCAGAGGCCAGCUUGGGGGAGUUGACUCUUUCUGACUAAUAUGUAGGUCACAAUGAUCAUACAAGUACACCUUUACUUGCUAAGCCAUCUUCCCAGCUCCAACUAUUUGAAAAUGUAAAUAAUAAAUCUAUAUCAUGUGCUGCAUAGUUUUAUGUUCACUUGAAACAUGCUAUAGUCAUUGGGAGGAGAGAACCUCAGUUGAGAAAAUGCCUUUGUAAGAACAAGCUGUAGGCAAGCCUGUAGAUCAUUUUCUUAGUGAUUGAUGUGCUCAGCCCACAGUAGGUGCUGCCACCCCUGGGCUGGUGGUCCUGAUUCUAUAUGAAAGCAGGCUGAGCAAACCAUGGGGAGCAAGCCACUAAGCAGCACCCCUCCAUGGCCUCUGUUCCUGUCUCUAGGCUCCUGCCCUGUGUGAGUUCCUGCCCCGACUUCCCUCAAUGAUAAACUACGAUGUGGAAGUGCAAACAAAAUAAACCUUUUCAUUCCUAAAUUGCUUUUGGUCAUGGUGUUUCAUCAGGUGUAACCCUAAGACAUAUUCUCUUGAGAAAUUAGUUAAGAAACUGAAGCUGAUGAGUAAAUAAAGAAAAUUAAAACACCAACAAAAAACCCUUCUCCCUUCUACACCAACACCAAAGAGAGCCAUGUCUGAGAUGGCAGGGGACAACCUUGCUUCUUUUCUUCUGAGAGACACAGACAAGGACACAUGUGAUGACAUAUGGCUUUAGUUGGAUCAUAAUCUCCAGUGAAAUGAGAGCUCAAUGGAGAUAGUAGCCAUGGGCUCAGCUCUCAGCAGUGACCUCCCUGGGUACCCCCUGCUUCUCCUGAUCCUUCCAUCAGGGGACAAAUACCCUGCCUGAGCUCCUCUACCACACUGGCCUGCUUCAUUUACUCAAGCCGGAGUAGCCCUGGAGCAGGGAGCUUGCCAAGUGAAAAACCUGGAUUGCUAUUUUUCUAUUAAAAUCUUGUCCAUGUUUUUCCUAUUGGAACCUGGAAACAGGACAAAUUCUGAAGGGAUCCAAAGGAAUUUCUUUAGAAAAGAAUUCUGUUAACACCAAAAGCUCCCCGAGCGCCACACAAAGCAAAUGCUAGACUUCAUUAGGCUGAAAUGUGUAAGCAGAGUUCAAACCCAAACCGAGCCGUCCUUCGCAGCAGGCUGGGCUGCAUCAGGGCUUAUGCGCUUGUACACUGAUCCUCUCAUAUGCCUGCAACUCCCUGCUUCAUCGGUUCAUAAUCAGCUCCAGAUUCUCUAUGGCUCCCACAGUGUGAGCCGUGGAGCUUCGGAUUUGGGAGAGGUACUGUUGAAGGGUAUGGAAGUACACAGGAAAUCUGAAUAGAAAUACACUCCCAACUGAAGUUACGGUCCCUAUCCCUGAGAAGGGACGAAUGGACAACAUAACUUGGAAGCUAACUAGUUCAUCCCAAGAGACUGUUAGAACACGGAUGUGUACAAGGAUGGUAUGUAGAAAUGGAUGGGAGAGGUAUUGACCAAUGAAAGGAGGAAGAUGAAGAUGAAUGGAUUCUUCUGAGCAAUGAUGUGUCUGUGUCUUAGGUAUGUCUGCCAGAGCCCUGGGAUUUAUCCGGAGUUAGCUUCAACCCCGAAGUUCAAACACUAAUGAUCUCUCUGGGGAUUUGAAGGGCUGCUCUUAAAUUCAUUAAAGUUUUGUGACAUCAUAGAUGACAUUAUUACACAGGUAACAUCAGUUCUUUGUGGCCAAGCAAGUGACCGUCACAUUGGAAGCCUGCAAAUCAGGAUUAGACUUUCUUUUUCACUUUGAAGGCAGCUCCACUCCAUGGAAUCAGUGAGUGACCCCAGGGCAACUGUGUGACCGACUGCUGUUAUCAAAUGUGUUUAAAAUAGUCAUUCUUUUCCAGACUGGAUUAGUUUUAAUUUCCGUUUUCAAAGUGAUAGCUCUGCUUGAUAUUAACACGAAUCUCUUCCAGUAAAAUAAUUAGGAAGUGAAUCAAAAUUUUAAAAAUCUAAAUGUAGUGUAUUUAACUGACUUGAAGGCUAUGCAGAAUGUUUGGAUGAGUAAACUCGCUUUACAAUUCUGCCUUCAGUGGCGUGGACUCCGGCUCCAGAGACAACGAGGCGUUUUCUCACAGCCCACAUGAACCUUGGGACUAGCAUCUACUUGCUUUUCACAGUGACUCUGCACAUUCCAAGGAAGCCGGGGCAUAAACAUACAAGCUUUCACCCUCUAACCCCACUAGUCUGCUUCCUCCAAAACCCAGCAUCUAAAACAUCUCCUCUUCACAGGUAUAUGGUCUUGGAUUUGUCACGCUGAAUGUGAGACUUUACAAGGCCAAUAAAAGGACAGCCGGACAGAGGGGACUGGGUGGCUUUUACCAACUAUGAAACACCGCAGCCUUUAACUCCUGAGGAUCAGGAACUUGAAAGCACUGAGAUCCACUUAGCUUGGUGUCUGUCAUAAAGUUAAGGCUAAUCCGGAUCCCCCACCCCCACCCCCCCCCACCCCCGGACUUGCAGCUCUAUCUUAAACCCUCAGGCUUCUCCUAGGCAGACUUAACUGAUGGAAGACUUGAUUAUGCCUUCUCAGGCCAUAAAUUCUAGAUAUUUAUAACAUAACUGUUGUCAUUUGGGUCAAUUAAGAUGCUUUUACUGGCUUGGAACAACCACCUAUGGGGCUUGUCAAAUACCCUGACAGUGGUUUAUGACCCUGUAUGGUGAUUUUAUCUUACAGGGAUAUGAAGGAUGCCUGCAUAGAAAAAUCACCAGGAAGCCUCUAAAACGGGUUUUUUUCCUAUUUCGUGAUAACCCGCAUCUAGUUUCUACUCUGUCUCCUUUUCUAUUCAGGCAGAAACACAGUUUGACUUUCAACUCUCUCCUAGAUUUGACAUCUGUGAUCACCUUUUCUCCUCCAAAGACCUAAGAGGAAGAGAUAAACACCUCAUGAGACACUCUAUCAUUAAAUACAACACAAAACAAAACAACACCUAAAAGGUGGAUGGGCUGGACACCCAGCUAGGACAUGCUGGGCUUCCCAAUGUCCAACCUUUCUCUGACAAGUGCUUGCUUUCACUUGAGGGAUAAACACUCCCUCAGGAAAAGCAGAAUAGAUGACAACAAAGAAUGGAAUUUAUUAGGGGAUUUCACCCAGACAGGUUGUAGCUUCUGCCUUUGUGGGAUAUUGCAUCCUGCUGUGUCUUCCUUUAAAGGAGCCCCUAGGCACCUACUGUUUCCCAGGCACUGGGCUAGGCUGGGAUAAGAGAGCUCAAGGAAAUCCAGGGGUAGGGGUGGGAGGUAGGGUGGAGAGGCAGACAUAUUUACAAUUACUAUGCCAAGUGUUAACAAACUCCAGGAGAGUUAAGUGCAGGAAGGCUGAAGGCCUUGAAAAGUACUGUUCCUUCUUUAGUGGGAGGAGAUGUCAGGGAUGAUUGCUUGAAAAGAAGCACUUCUAGUUUGAGCCUUCACAAAUGCAAGGAGACAGGGAGGCCAACUGAAUGGCAGAGUAUUUCCUGCAGGAAAAGCAAAAGCCAAGGAUGGAUCCGAGAAGACAGGGUGCAUGGGGAUUUCCCAUAGCUCUUCAUAUAGGUAGUCAGCAGUGGAAUGAGCUGGGGCUGAGAGGAUCCUACAAGGCACUGACUGCAUUCCUCUGCCAUGAUCUUUCUCCCUCCUUAGUCAAAGGGGAUGAGGCACAAUGGCAUGCUCUCCCCAAAGCCAUUGCUCUAUGCCUAUUGGCUCCAUACCCCCAUGCAUACCCAGUUAACCCCCCUACACCCCAGACUAACUUGGCAAGCUUCAUUCUGACCUGUCACACUCCUGGGUUAGAGAACCCUUCAAUUUUGAUUCUCAAAACAGCAUGCUUGGUAGAAGCCAUGUGACACAUCUAGAGCUUCACCUGGUAAACAAAGGACAUGCUGACACCAUGCAAGACAUUGUAGUAAGGAUGAAUCAGAAAGGCGGUGGGGGAGGCAUGGCUUCAGAGUGCUUCAGGGGUACUCAGUGACAUAUGCUGAGUGAUCUUUAAUGGUCUUUAAUGUUGUUGUUGUUGUUGUUGUUGUUGUUGUUGUUGUUACACCCUGCAACAUUUCUGAUAAUACAGCUUCAUUUGAAAUGAAAGGCCAGAAACAAACAUCUACAUGAAAGGAAAACAGCACCUGAAAACUACAUCACAACAUGGAAAAGUCUACAUCACAGAUGAUGCUAGCUAUUGGCUACCAUUAAUGUCCCCAAACUUGCUGCCUUAAAUAUGCUAUGUAAACCCAGGGCCAGGAAGUGACAGUGUGGUUCCAAAGGCCACAAGCCACCAGGUGACAAAAAGUUAAUUUUCAAAAAUAUUAUGAAAGUGUUUGCUGCUAUUAAAAAUGUAAAAUAUUCAGUUUUGUUUGCUUAUACUCUAUUUUGUUCCAAAAAGGAUUAAAAUAUCUAAAAAACAAACAGAAGAGGCUCAGGUUUCUAAGGAGGGAGGUGGGAGGGAUGGAGUUACAUCUACCAUGCCAACAUCAGGCUGGCUAUGAAUGGGAUGUGGACAGCACUCACAUAAACAUGGAAAGCUUUAAAACCCAACAUCAACACUCAACUCUCCAACUCUUCCAGCACUAAGGGAGGUGGGAACAAAAGGCUUUACCAUCUCUCAUUUGUACCCAAGACUUGGGCGCAAGUCUCCUUUGCAAGUAGUGGGGGUGGCAAAAAGCCACAGAGCACAGAGGUCAAAGUUCUUCCACCUGGUUCAUGCUGCAUGGAGAAGACACUUCAGAAGACCCUUCAGCCUCUGCCUCUUACAGACGAAGCUAACAUCAGUCUUCAGGCUCAAGACUAUUGUGAAGAUUCUAGGAAGACACGUAACAGUGUCCAUGCCUAGUCUCUCUGCACUGCUGAAGGAACAGUAGAUAUGUUGUCUUGUAGUCCUCUCUAGAGAAGAGCCAGAAGGAUAAGGGACAGGGCAUUGCCUCACCAUAAAAACCCACAAAAGAUCACAAGAGAGAGACUCAAAGAAUGAAAAGGAAGCUCCGAGAAAUACUGGCUUCUAAACUCUCAGAAAAUUGAACCAGGACUUUGAGAGCUUCAACAGGUCAGGAGAGGAAGAUAAGGCCAGCUAGAAAAACUUAGAGGAAGCUUUGAGGAACCACUUCUAAGCCGACUUUCAGAGAAGGAUUCAGGAAGAUAAUAGGGCAUUUUUGGAUAAUGGCAAGCCAUCAUCACAAGGACCUGGAAAAAGCAAUGAAUACUAUUUUAAGAAGAGGAAAAAAACACACCAUUAUCUGGGAAUGGUAAGGAAUUCAUAAAAACCUGCAGGGCACCCAUCUCAGAGGGAAUCUGAGAACCAGGCACUGAACCUGAGAGAUGUGCCGAUCAGGGAAGAGACUGGUGGGGUGCCAUAGCUGACUGAGGUCUGUGGAUUAGGUGGGGUCCCAGGGUUAUGAGUCAGGGAAACUGCCCCCAGAAGUUGGAGGUAUGUGGGUCACACUAAAACUAUGCUAGGAUAGGCAGGGAGUAGUGGCUGGAAGAGGCACUCUGUGAGAAAAACUGGCUAACUUCUGCUGUUGAUAAGACAUUAAGUCUAGCUAUACAGGGUCUGGCAUCAGCUCAUUGUAAACACAGCUUCCUCCAUAUAGAAUGGGACUAAAGACUCUUGACUUCACAUGGACUUCUGCUGGACUCUUCCUAACGUGGACCAAACAAACAAACAACAACAAUAAAAACAGUGACAAUUUGGGUGAUUUUAGUAUGACAAGUGGUUAAUCCUCAGGUUCCUCUUUCAGGCUUAUUUUUUAAAAAUGACUUUAAAAAUAAUUAUUUAUAUAUUUAAUGUAUGUGAGUACACUGUCCUUGUCUUUAGACAUACCAGAAAAGAGCAUCGAACCUCAUUACAGAUGGUUGUGAGCCACCAUGUAGUUGCUGGGAAUUGAACUCAGGACCUCUGAAAGAGUAGUCAGUGUUCUUAACUGCUGAGACAUCUCUCUAGCCCUCUUUCCGGUGUAUUAACAAAUACCAUCAGACAUUCAAUGUCUGUUCAAGAAGUCAAGGUAUCCGCAUGAAUGGAGACACAGUCACUGUGUCCUCAUGCCAGCCAUCCAGCUUGCUUCCAUCUCUUCCUGGACGUGUCUUUCUGAAAAUAUAAGGCUCAAGGACAAUGGUGAUGGUUUGUUUCAUUUAAAAGAGAUAAUACAUUACUUAAAAAAAAAUAAAAGCUAGUACUUUUGCCUUAUUUCAUAUGAGGAAGCAGAGAGAAGAUGACACACUGUACUAGUGAUUACCUGCCCCUUUUAAGCUCUGUCAGCAACACAAAGGCUUAAAACCGAAGCUUAAUCCAGGGCACAUUAUCCCUCUAAGCCCAUGCCUUAACUCAAGGGGACCAAAAGGAAUGUCUGCAUUUAUGCAGGAGUUUGCGGUAGGUUCAGUUAACUUUUAAGGAGUACCCUAUUCUCCCAAGGAAUCUAAAUCUAAAUCUAAAAUGGUCUUCUGCUUUGGUUACUGAAAAACAUUUUUCAUCUUAACUUUCCCAAAGUCCAACUUAUACAAUACAAACUAUAAAGAUGAGCUUAGUCUGACCUGGUAAGUCUGGAAUGAACAGCUAAGGAUGUGGGUAGCUGGGGGAAUUCUUGCUUAGCACACCUUUUUGAUCCUGAAAAACCAUCACUGAGGGCCCUGAGCAUACAUGCCUUUGCUUUUCCAUUAAGCUCAUGGUAUUUUGAAACAAAGCUUUGAGAAAACCCACAUAAUCAAAGGAGAUCAGGCAAAUGCCCAACUGAUGAGUUUAGUAGCCAACCCUGGGAGUCAAUGGAUGUAAGGACUUCAAAUCAGAUGGUCCAAGAACACAGCAGGAGAGAAUCAGUGGGGCACCUUCUCCAAGCUGGAUGAAAGGUUUUCUCUAAGAGCUCUGUAGCCUACCUGGACCCUAUAUGGCUCUUUUCUUUUCUUUUCUUUUCUUUUCUUUCUUUUUUAAGCAUCUUACUAUGCAACAAAUGAAUGUUACAAUGUAACAUUAGCUUUGAUUAGCCAGCUAUGCUUCCUUGAUGAAUCAAGCCCAAGGUUAGUGAUUGCUUUGACUACAGAAGGAAACAGGUGGUUUACUGAGAUUUCUGGAUGGGUAGCAGGGGGAAGGUAACCUCUCAAAGAUGGAUGUCAUCAAAGAACUACUACUGUUAUCAGGGGAAAAGAUAUCCCCCGCCCUCAGAAGCGCCAUGGCUCUCUGAGUUGCGGUCUCUGAGGGAUAGCACAGGUUAAAGGGUUCUUGUGCAGGGGUUCUGUAUAACAGCCAAGUGUCCUUGGGGAAGCAGCGACACCUCAGCCCCACUUUCUAGUCUCUGAAAUGAAACCUUCAGAUAGGCAAUGGGUUCCUGACUAUAUUGGAAUCAGCCUACAAAUAUCCUCUAUUUGCUAUUAGUACAAAGUUUCUAAAACCACAUCUCUCUCAAAUGUAAUUAUUCAAAACUAGGUAAAUUCUUUGGAAUGGAGAAAAUUUCCCUUAGCAACCCAGGAACAAAUAGAAACUUGGGUUUGAUGCCAUUGUAGUACUGGAUCUGGAUCUAUGAAACAAAGCAGAUUGGCCAUUUGGGGGACCCAAUGCUGUCCCUUUACAAGAUGAAAGCUGUAAAUGAUUUAGAUGAGUGAAGAGACACCAUCUUAACAUGACAAAGCUGCAGGGCCACCAAGCUCCUGGGCUUGCUAAGCUUCUGAGUUCAGCUAUUCCUCUACAUUUCAGUAGCACCGACUUCAGCAUUGCUUGGGUCUGCUGCCAUAUUUCAGUGCAAGGAAGAGAUGUCAAAGUCAUAUCACAGCUACUGAUCCCAUUCUUCUAGUGACUGAUAGAUUCUCUCUUAUUUUUACUCAACUUUGUAACUUUUAAGUAAAUUUCUCACUAAACCUAAUCUAAAAAACAAAACCUAAAACCAAACAAACAAAACACAAAACCCCAACACUUGCACAACAUUUAUAUCUUUUCUACUUCCAUUCUGUUAUAUAAACAGGACGAGGUAUAGAGUUAUAAUUCCUACAGACAUUUAUAUGGCAGUGAUAUUUUCACUGUUCAGAGAGAAUACGACUCACCAGCAUUGUCUAAUGCCACAGCACCAACUCCCCACUUGAUGUGGCCACUGAGUUCCUUGGAAAAUGAUCAGUGUGACGGAGGAACUAAAUUUUGCUUUCUAUCCAAUUUGAGUAGAUUCAAAUUGUGUAGCUUUGAAAAGCCUCGAAGUUCACCUUUUAUGCUUGUGAAUCACCUCUUCUUGUUUUGUUGUUCUGUUUUCUAUUUUGUUCAUUUAUGUCUUUGAUUUACAUCUUCUUGUCUGUAUUCACUCUCACUGUUCUUAUGAACACCAGACAUUAACCAAGAGAUAGUUUACAACAACAGGAUCUGUCCAGCUGAAAUCCCUUCUUCCCCAGAUCUCAGUCCUCAGGCUCAGUACAUGUAUAUGUAUGUGUAUAUGUAUAUGUAUGUGUAUGUAUAUGAUGUAUAUGCAUAUGAUGUACCUGUGGAAAUGUGGUUGGGAAGAGAAAAUGAAAAGCUAAGGAAUCCCAGAGGAAAGCAGGCCAGGCCCUGGCUGUUGUAAUGGUUUCCCUUUCCCAGAAUGAAUCAUCUGAAUCCAGUGCGACCACGAGAGAUAGGCAGAAGUUCUGGGUCUCAGCUAUGGACUUGAACUCCCAUGUAACUAGAUUCCUCCUGGGAAGGGUAGGCCCUGACAGAAGAUACUUUAUAGCGUGUCCUGCUGGCCCUGAUGAGUUGGGGAUACCAUAGAGCAAUUAUGUGGGCGAGUUGUUAAUAUGGAUGGAACUGAGAAUUAAGAGGAUAGCUCGUGGGAAUUUCUGCCACUUGAGAUGGAAACGGCAGAAAAGAACAGGUAGUUGACUGUAAAAAGCCGUGUAGAAGGGAAUGUUAUUCAAGUUUACAGGCAACAUCUCUCCAUAAAACCAGCAUCCACUACAAUCCCAGGCCUUGCUCCCUGCUUCAUGCCAAUGAGCAAUCUGUACUAUGAAACUGGAUAUGCAUGGGGUAUGGCACUCGGGGGUGGAUGAGACUGUCUCCCAGAGACAAUCAGAAGCCUUGAGUAAUGAACUCUGGAAGGCUCAGGCUGUUUCAUCUUUGAUGACUGAACUUGGGUGGUAUUGGAAGACUUACUCCAAAGGACCCCCAAAUCCUAAGAAGUAAGAGGGACCAACUUAAAGCACAGUUCUUAGAGUGACCCGGGGAAUACUUUAGAUGAUGUUAACUUGGGAUUUUCCUCGAGUCCUUCAUAGUUUCUUAUAUUAUUCUUCACUUCUUACUACUUCUGGAUUGAUUCUAAAUGGACAAAGAAUCCUAAACCUAUGUAUUAUGUAAUUUUUACACACAGAGCCAAUUCUGCUAUAAAGCAACUAGCUGUACAGGCUCAAAAAGGUACACUCCACAGAGCAGGCAUUUAGCUACUGAAUGCAGGUACCUGGGUUGAAAAGUAAUUAUUCCUAUUACUAUGGUGACAAGUACUAUAGAGAGUUUAAAAUAGGGGACAUCGACAGGUAGGACCUGGGAUAUCUGGAUGGCCCUGGGUUGGUAUAGUCUAGGUAGGUCCCUUUAGAAAGCAACAGUUGAGCUGAGUUCUACAUGAUGGGAAACAGCCAAAUCAUUAGUGACAGAGGCUGUGGUGAGCUCAGGUAUAGCAGACUGUGAGAUUCUGGGGUGGUCACAAGCUAAGUCCGUCAGCAGGAGGGCAGAGAACAAGCUGUUAGUUUAGGACUGGGUGAACAUAAUGUAUGGUUAUAUGACAAGAGGGUUGGAACAUACAUGGGUCCAGCUGGAAACAACCUAGCAAGCCAGAGUAAGGACUGUGGAUUACCAAAAUGAAAAAGCUCCCGAAAUAUCUAGAACCCCUUCCCUUAAGCAUUCUGUCAGCAGAGAUGAUUUUUAUAUUGCCUUUCUCUCUCCAAGGAGAUAGACACUAAUUCAUCAGGAAGAGUUUCCUCAAAGAAAGGAAAGAUUACACUAAUACCUUUUGUUUGAUGAGCUGGGGAAGGAAUGGAGUUCUUCCAAAUACUCACCAAGCAUCUUUAACCAUCAAAGUUACCACCACAGGGGCUUCCCAGAGACCAAGCACCUCCAUGGUAGGCACAUAAAGUUAACUCAGGUAGGCCCAACCCUGUUGAAGGGCAUGCCAACCUCUGGAUUUAAUACAAAUAGUUUUCCUGCCACUGGGCAAAGCACAGAAGAAUAUGUGUGCCCGCUGAAAGUGGAGAUGGAGAGCGAAUACCCAGAGCACCAGCCUGAGAUCUAGAUAAGGCUAGAGACACUGAGAGUGGGAAAAUCCUGUAACACAGACUAGAAAGAAGGAACUGCGGCAGUAAUGAUUGGUUUGAGGGGAAAGCAUUUAGAUGGAAAGAAUUUGGAAGGUAAGAACUUCCAGAUGGUCUUGCUGGUGGAGAUAGCUAUAUAUAGAGACAGAGGGGCUAAUUAGUUCCUGGGCCGAGGCCCCGGUUUCUGUUGAGUGAGUGAUUGUCUUGUGGUGGUUUAGUUCAAUACAUGCCACAUCGUGAGUAAAUUAAGUAUUUGAGGGUUUUUAUUUUCCCCAAGCAAUGGGAAUUGCCCAACCUUAAUAUAAUUAAUUAAGAGUCAAUGAAUGUUUAAUUUAGUUCUGGUGCUUGUACCAGUAACACAAUGAGCUCUUUGUCUUGGCCAAGGCUCCUAAAUAUUGGGAAAGGGAGAAAAACUGGAAAAGAGCAAGGCUUAGUCAAUCGUUUUCUCCCAAAUACUCUGAUUCACACAUUGCCUCCCUAGUAUAACAGCCCAUCCAGUGAAACCCAAGAGUUUGCCCCUGAGGGAGGCUGUGGAUCUAGGAGGAACAAUGUCGCCUCACUCAUGCCUUUCGGUUGGCACCAAGAGUUACAAGUUACGCUUUCGAACUCCAGUUUGGUCAGAUGACUGGACUAUCUCAACUGUCACAUGCUCAACUACGCUUUCAUUUGGUGAGUUUUUAUUCUGGAGUCAUAAGCAGUCAAAAGAUGGUUGAGAAAAGCUAAAAGACAGAGAUAGGGACAGCCAUUGGGACAUUCUUUCCAGGGUGCUACAACCAAAUGAACAGCUUUUGGCUAGUCUCCAGCCAUUAUCUGGCAGGUGACUAGACAGAGAUGUGUGGAUUUUUAUCACUGCAGAAUUCCUAUUAUUGGCUUCUGAGAAAAUUCUAAUAAAAAAAAAAAACAGUAAAAGGUGCUUCUGCUUACUGUGUCCAUCAUGUGUUAGCCCCAUGUAUAAUAUUUUUAUUGACAUUACCACAGUCAAUGCUUGCAACAAUAUGAAGCAGUUGGGUUCUUACCAAUCCCCAUGGAGCACACAGAAGCUGAAGGCUGAGGUGUUCUUCUGCUUAGCAAAUAGAGGAACUGAGAUUAUAAUGCAAAAUGCUUGGUCUUGCAGUCUGCAUUAACUUGGACUUGCACCUGAUCCUGUGCCCAGUUAUUCUCUAAUUAGAUUCUCACUGGGUGUAUGAGUUGGAGAGACUACCAAAGAUCUGGGAGGUUCUAUGUACACCAUAGAGGAAAGCUCAAGUUUUAUAUCCAGGGAAGAAGCACAUGUGAGGUGCUAUUUCCAUAUCAGUCUGCUGAGCUGUGAAGGGACACAAAUGAUGCCUGGAUCUGAGAGCUUCUCAUCCACAUCCAGUCUUAUUGAGAACUAAUCUGUUGGAGAAGAGAAGAAAGGAGACCCAGGGUACAGAUGGGCACAAGGUUCAAGUCAUUGGAAUCUUGCCUUAAUAUACUUCUGGGGAGUGGUGACACUCUGACCAAGUCACAUGAGAGGAGACAGGGAGGUGAGGCCCAUUGGUCCACACUCACUUCUCUAUUCCCCUAGUUUGGUUUAAGUAGAGGCACAAGGACACCAUAGCUAGGCCUAUGGCUAAUAAGCCCUCAUUCCUACUACAUCCUGUAGGACAGUGGCCCUUUAAUACAGUUCCUCAUGUUGUUUUAUGGUUAUUCCUAACCAUAAAAUUAUUUUAGUUGCUGCUUCAUAACUGUAAUUCUGCUACUAAAUUACUGAAGAGUUAUGAACUAUAAUGUAGAUGUUUCUGGAGAUAGUUUGCCAAAGAGGGUCACGACCCACAGGUUGACAACCAUCUUGAGAUGAGUACAAGUCUAACAUCUAAUGUAGAACUUUAUAGCAAUAAAAUAGAAAAUGUAAUUCAUCUAAAUAAAUAUUGCAUCACAGACUCCAGGGGUGGUAAGAUUCUUGGAAAUUCAGGCAAAUAUAAUUUUUACUCAUUAACACCAAACUUGAUGCCCAAUACAAUUAUGUAGGGAGGCGGGGAGGAAAGGAGAGAAGAGGGGAAGGUGGUUAGUUUCAAUUUCCCACUAGUUAAAGGGUUUCAGAAUGCUCCUGAGAUAGUGACCAGGAGAGCCUUCAGCAUCCAAAUUCUUUUUUUUUUUUAAGAUUUAUUUAUAUGUAAGUACACUGUAGAUGUCCUCAGACACUCCAGAAGAGGGAGUCAGAUCUUGAAACGAAUGGUUGUGAGCCACCAUGUGGUUGCUGGGAUUUGAACUCCUGACCUUCAGAAGAGCAGUCGGGUGCUCUUACCCACUGAGCCAUCUCACCAGCCCCAGCAUCCAAAUUCUUAAAGCACCCUCUUCCUAUUUUGUAUCCUGUCCCCAGGUUUCGUGCACACCAUUACUAUCUGUCCAUUUGCUCGUCUCUCCAUCAAAUCCAGAUAGAAUCCUUGUGGCCCCACCUGCUAGGCAUGGAAGAGUGCACGAGAAUAAUCCUUUUUUAUAGGCUUUAGGACAAAUAACCAAUGAGUAGUCCCUUGCCUGGCUUACAGAAGCACUCAGUAAAUGCUUGCUUAAGAUCUUCACAGAGGAACCAAGAUAACACAGUCCGGAGAAGGACCUUGGAUACCUGGUAACCCUUCGCCAUUCGUGAGAGUGCCUGCCUGGUGCAGAGGAGGUACCCAUAGCUCUGAUUAAAUGAAUGAAUGGUGUAGUAGUGGAUAGUCAGCUAGAAGGAAAUCCAACCAAUUCUGCAUGGGGUGGGGGGGGGGACUUCCCAGGGACACUAGGUAGUAGUGUGUUAGUCCUGGGUAGGGGGUCAUGUCUCAGUUCAGGAGCUGUGAUCUCAGGACUCUGGAAUCAGAAGGACCUGGAUAGGAAUCUUGCUCAGUCGUGCAAUUACCACACAUCCUGGGGCAAGAGAGUUAUUUGUCUUUCUAAGACUAUGAAAGAAGAAUCUCCCGCUCUAGGUUGCUGGGAAGAUUAGAAAUUGGAAAAACACAAUGUCAGAGAGAGACGAGCAAAUGCUAGCAGGAAUUCCUGUUAGGCCCAGCUAGAAGCUUCCUCCCAUCCAGCACCUAUGUAGACUUCUUACUCGCCAGGCAUUAGCUAAGCACUCUCGAAAUGUCAACACACUCCUUGCUCACAAUAACCCUGUGAGUCAGGUACUGUUAUCUCCCAUUCUGCAGAUAAGGAAAAUGGGAGCAAAGAGGGUAAAUAGCAUGCCAGAGUCACAUAGCCAGGAAAUGGUCUAACAGGGAUUCCCACACUAGCAACCUGGCCAGUAUCUGAGCAUUUAACCCCUGUGAUGUGCUACCUGCUGACAGUGAGUGCAGGCUUACUUCUUUCUAAAAAAGAAAGAAAGAAAGAAAGAAAGAAAGAAAGAAAGAAAGAAAGAAAGGAAGAAAGAGAGAGAGAGAGAGAGAGAGAGAGAGAGAGAGAGAGAGAGAGAGAGAGAGAAAGAUAGAUUAAAAGAAAGGAAAGAAGAAAGAAAGAAAAAGAAAGAAAAAGAAGAAAAAAGAAAAAAGUGGAAGGACACUAACCAAUGCUAACCAAACAUACUGCAAACCCCAAGGACAUUAUGUGAGAUAAUAUGUAUGAAUUAAGAAAACAAAAAUGUGAUUCUCAAAAUGGUCAGAUUAAUAUGUCUGACAUUCUGACAAAGUAUGACUUAUCAGGGACAAUAGUUUCUAGACACUCUUUUCCUACCCUGAAGCUCUUACUGUGCCAUACUGAUACAACCAUUUUGAUACUUACAGUUUGUUAGCUAGCAUGAUAAAAAUAUAUCCACCAGAGGUUUUACAUGAUAUAAUUUAAUUUCGUAACUCAAUGAAUUAGAUGUUGCUGUCCAUUAUUUCUAAAUAACAUGCAGAGAAUUUCCUUCACUUCCCUACCUAGGCUUCUUUCCUAUCCUGACACACUGUGAAGCUCAAUAGAGUCAACACCGAGCCCACCUUACUGGAGAUGCAUAAGCAAAUUCUGCAAAGGGAGCAUGUCAAAGGAAGCUCUAGGCUGGAAGAAGAAGCCAUGCUCUAUGAGAGCACGAAGUAAGAGAAUCUGUUUGUGCCAGAAGGGAAUUCUUCCCAGAGGAAACAGAGGGUAGGCAUGGUUUGAAGUUAAAGAUCCAGACAAUGGGAAAAAAGAUCCAAAGACCUUCUGGGCUCACCCCUGACUGUCUGUGAUAGUCUCAGUUGGGGUAGGUCUCAUCUAGACUCUUCAUCCUCACCCUUCACAGGGCAUGAAGCUCAUGACCCUCUCGACAUUUUAAUAAUUUUAACUACUGGAGAGACAUUACAGGAUGGAAAAGAAGUAUCCAAUAUACAGUGAUUCUUUGUUUUGUAUUUUCUCUGCCAUACCAAAUAUACAUGUUUGAAAAGUGAGCAACUGCUCUCUGUAUUACUUAGAAGCCCAGUGUGUAGACAGGCACAUUUGGAGACUUCAUAAACUAACUCCACGUACCUUGCUCAUAGGGACAAAACCACUGGCUAACAAAUUCCUUUGCUGUUGGGAGUCUUAGAUCAGCUCCUAUUCUAUAGAGUAUCUGGCAAAGAACAGGUAUUUAAUAUAAUGUGUACUGAUGGCACAAGUGUAUAAGGACUUUGCCAUACAGUCAUCAAGUAUUAAUUGAUGUCUACCAUAUGCCAGGCACUGGUCUAGUCCCUGAUGCUACAGAAGUGGUGAAAACAGGCAGACAUCCUGUGCUUACAGAGCUUACAUCUACUGAUCUAGACCAGAUUAACACAUCUCUUCUCUCACACUUCAUUCACAGGCACAACUAUGGACAUUGCCCUUGAGUUUCCUUUAAACAUAUAAAUAUGACAUCAAUGCUUUAUCCUCCUGCAUGGUUUUCUUCUCAUCAGGAUACAAACCUUGCUUGGAAGUUAGAGGUAAUGGGUGAGAAGGGCCAUGUGUUCUGCUCACUUCCUGCACGGCCUUCUAGAGGUACCAUUGCAGUUGGGGACUCAAUCAUGGAGCACUUCAGAGGUGGGCAUGUUAGCUGAAACCUCUGCAUUGCACAGCUUAGCAUAAACCUUCCCACCUGUUUCUAAGUACAUGGCUUUGAAGUAGAUCUGAAGGUUUGGUUAGGAAUUCAGAUAGUAAACUAUGCAGACACAAAGCCAGUUUAUACCGAUUUACCCAUACUAUAACAGACAGAAGCUGAAAUAACAAAUUGUCAUUCCUAUUACUCACUGAUAACAAAUUGCUAUUAUUAUUACUCAUUAGUAUUCCUCUAUGUAUUAGCAUCUUCUCUAUCCUUUCAUUCCCCUGAAAAUUUCAAGCCAUAGACAACCUUGAAACGACCUGAGUAGUGUGUAAUUGUUUAUGCUAUUAUUCACUGGGCCCAGCUGGCUCUACUUCCAUGAUCUUGUCUGAAUUCUACCUACUAAACCCUCUUGAUCCCGGAUGUAGCCUGAUCCUGAUGGAGCUUCACAUAUGAGAUGUAAUCUUGACAAGCUAUUUGGAAUUCCUUCUGGAAAAAAGAGCAAAAAGUGAGAGCUAGCAUUCUUCCAAGGAAAUGAAUAAGUCUGAUAAAAAUGUCCAUAGAUGAAGUGUAAGAAGCCCAUCUGAGAGCCAGCCUGUAGAACCUCUGCUUAGACACUAGGAUUAGAUUAUCUUCAUAAAUGGCCUAGGAAGGAAGUGUGCUUCACUCAGCUAAGGCUCCAUCUCCUGUUUCCAGUUAGAGGCACCACCUUGCAUUUAUUGUGCGGAAAUGCUGGCAAAGCCAUGUCUAGAAGGAGCAUUAAAAGGAUCAUGAGAUUUGACUCUGCAGUAGUCUUUUGCAACCCAGUGAAGCAAUUCUUCUCCCUGGUACUACAGCAGCGAGAGCUCCCAGAGAGACAACCUGCCUUGGAUUUAUUAUUUCUUUUUUUCUGAACAUCCCUCCUUUGACCUCUUAUCCAGAUAAUCAACCACUGAUUAUUUUUAAAGUAUGCUAAUAUUUAGACAAAUCCUUCUAGAUCUCUCUCAGGUUGGAACAGGAAAUGCUUUGUGUCAUUUUAAUGUUUAUCAACAUUAGUGGUGAAAUCCUAUCAUACUGAGGGAAAGCAUUUUCAGAUGGGUUUUGAUAUGGGUUUAGGAUGUAAGGUCAGGAUCAGGCACAGAGAAAAAUCUGUGAUUGGGGGUGACUUGACUCACCCUCUUUGAAGAGCAACUGUUUCCACCACAGAUUUUGUUUUAAAAAUUCUUUUUGUUUUUGUUUUUUUUUUUAUAAACCUUUCUCCCAUCCUCACACUUAUCCAUACUAAUCGGGUGUGGGAAGAAUAAAACAAAUACAAACAAACACAUUAUUAGAUGUAAGGUUAGCAGCCCAGUAUUUGGGAAUGGACAAGUCUGGUCCUAGUCUUUAUCUUGGCCUUUGUCAGCGAAUGACUGUGGGCAAAUCACUCUGCCUCCAUUUUGCCAUUUGCAAAGUACACAGUAACAUCACCACCCCACAUAGCUGGCACAAGGUUGAAUGGGCCUCUCCCCAUGCAUGGGGCAUUGUAGAUGAUCCACAGUCAUCUAAAUGAAUGAAUGGAUCCACAGAUUCAUCUGUUCUCACCAAACCAGUAAUGUUCUAAAUCAGGGUUUGGCAAGCUACUCUUAUGAGAAGCCAGCAAGUAAAUACUUUAAGCUUGGCUGGCCAUAUGGUUUCCAUCACAAUGACUUAAUUCUAUGAUUCUAUGAUGCUGCAUGAACUCAGCCACAGAAAACAAAUUAAUGGGAGUGGCUGGUCUCUAAUAAAACUUUAUUUACAAAAGUAGGCAGGCAGUAGACUAGAUUUGCCCUGUAGGUCAUAGUUCUAUAGCCUUCACUUGCUAAACUCAAACCCUGGUCUGAAACUACAUAACUCAAUGAUGGUCUGUUGGCUCAGUGAUGGGCCAAAUCCAUCAAAGAGAGAUGAGGAGGUGAGUCUGUUAUACCCAGGUUCACUUGUAACACCCACUACUUCCCAUUAUACCUCAUAGUGUAGCAAUUUUAUGACAGUCACCUGCCUCCAAGUCUGUCUCGUGGCAACUCACCUACACAGCAAGGCAGCCUGAUAUGUACCCAGUUUCUUCCAGAGACCAGGCCUGUGGCUGAUAUCUUGGCAGGCCAGAAGCUCUCUUGGAAGAUUCCCUUUCUCUUCCUAUUCAAAUUAGUGACACCCAUUCAUUCUCUGUCUAAAUAUUCAGAGAUGAGUCAGUAACUUUCUUGCCCAUGUGCUGGUGUAAAGAGAUGACGUUCCUUCUACUACUUCUUUUAAUCUGAGAAAGAGAGCUGCGCUGUGGGGGUGGGGGGUGGGCAUGAACAACAGCUUCUGGGAGGGUUAUUGAACUAACUCAUCUUCAUGCUGAACAGCUCCAAGGUCAAGGCUCUGCAAGAGCUAGCUCAGUAGAGGGUCAGAGCUCAGAAAGCACGAAGAACUUUUCCUUGCACAAAUACUAGGGACAGAGAUGGGCACCCAAGUUGUCCUGACCAAUUCCAAAGGUCAAGUUAUUACGAUUUAUAUUGUGCUCAUAGGUGGGAUUGCAAGUGCUAAUUCACUCCAUAUCUCAUGUAGCCAGAUUGUCUAACUUAGUAUAAUCUGCAAACAUUUUACAGAGACAUGUGUUUCCCUUUGGUUGUGUGUGUGUGGAGGGGGAGCUCUUCUACUAGACCAAAAACACAAAAGAAACUGAUCUCUAUAUCCAUUAUGGGCCCUGCUAUAUUGGAGACUUUUCUUAUGUGUCCGUAGAAUGAGACUGUAGAUAGCAGUAAAGGCACUGGGGGAAUAACUUGGCAUAGUUAUCUCUCUGACUCCACAAGUUAGCUGUUGUUAUUUCCCCUAUUUUAUUGAUGAUAAAACUAAGGUUCACAAAGGUUAAGCCUUGUAGCCCAGGGUCAGAAAGCUAACCAAUGGCAAAAGCAAAAACUGAACUCAGUUCUGUUAGGCAAUAACUUAGACUCUUCUUACUCGAUUCAGUUUCCCCCACACAAUGAUUCUCCUUGUCCCAAGCCAGACAGUGACCCCAUUGGCCCUGCUUAUAUCAUGACUAGAAGAAGUCACCAUUCUCUUUUCCUGUGACUAUGUUUGUUCCAAGUGCCUAGAAAUUGCCCUCACCUAUAAAGCCAGGAUAAUUUUCCACUGUCAAUAACAUCCCAACUUCCUCCAAGAGAUCUUUGUAUGAACUAACUCUGUUUUUAGCAUUCAUUACAUUGUUAAAAGUACAAGUAGCUUUUUCUCCAUCUUUGCAUGGCUUCCCAAAUGGUGAAUGCUGAGUUCUUUCUUGGUGCAAACACAAGGAACUCAUAACUUUUCAAUGGAUUAUGAAAGUUAUUCCCCCAGGGGCUCAGCAAAGCAGUCAUCGCUAGGCAUAGCCUUCGCAUUACGUCAGUGAUGCUAAGCUAAUGGUGGUUCUUAAUAAUAUUAUUGGAAUUAUUAUUACCUUCAAUUAAAAAGUUGGCCAUGAAUGACUUACUACUUCAGAGAGACUCCCUAAAGAGUCACAUAGAAUUGGAAUCUUUUCACCAAAGGGUACUGUGAGAGGAGAACCAGAGUCCCUCUCCAUCCCCCUAGUAAAUAUAUUAUUUAAUAAAUACCCUACAUUCAAAUACUUUUAUGUCGUUGGCUGGUUACCAGAUUUUUAAAUUAGCUUCCUUAAAGGGUAGAUAGAGCUGGUUAAUCACUACUACUUUGUUCUAAAGCAUGCAAGGAAAUCAAGAGAAGUUUAAGCAUAUGUUCAACAAGGCCUAUUAGGAUAAUUUCAAUAGUAUCACUGUAACCUUCACAGCAGCAUCUUUCUGGAGGUGGGCAGCACAGGGAUGGGAUUCUAAGACCAGAUGAUGAGUGGUCUGUGACAUUACUACCUACUUCCUCCCUUUGACACCUUGGAAGCCAUGAGCACUGCUUGCUGCAUGCAAGGCCCGUGUCUUCUUAUUCUGAACAUAUAUUUACAACUAGAGGGAGUUCCUAAAGUGAAAAUAGGAACACACAGGCAAGCCAAAAGCAGCCUUUGUUGUCCCCAGAAUAUGAUGCUCAGGCAUCAUAUAAGUAGGUCCCCAACCUAGGAAGAUGAAGUCCAUGGGCCAGGAGGAGAAGAGUACCUUGAGACCUAAUACAGAGAGAAGAGAGUAAUCUAAUAGCCUGGAAUAGGGAUGGAUCUUGGAGAUCCAGUUCUAGAACUCUAGGAGAUGGAAUCCCUGAGGUCAGGAAAGACCAGAGACAGAGAAGCCAAGGGGAAUACAGUCAGGAGAAAGAGUGCAGGCUCAGGGCUAGAGAUAAAGAUACAGAGACAGAUUGUUUGACUUUUGAUACAAAUGAAAUAUGUAAGUAAAUAUUUAUUUAAUAAGUGAAUGAUUAAAUGAGUCAUACUUAGCAUCCUGCCUUGCCCCCAAAGCUCUACCAACUCUACAUCUGCAUCUAUACUAACUCUUACUUUUACUGAAAGACUUUCCCUUCCCACCCUAACCAAGCCAAGGUCCUUGUAAGAACAGAUAGUACUUUUAUGCCUAUGGAGCUUGUGACUGGAUGCAUAUUUGUGCAUAGGCAUGCAUACGAGUUCCACCUGUGUUUUUGGUAAGAUGACUUGCUUCAAGACCCAGGUUGCCUUGAGUUCACAAAGGUGGGAAACAGAGGGAAGGACAAGCCGGUGCUGCCUAGCAGGCAUCAGUUUGCCUUGAUCUGGAGUGCUGUAGCCAAAGAGAGUGUGUCAUAUCAGAGGACAUAGCUUAUGAGAGUCUCUGACAAGCUCUGUCUUGCCCGAUAUGAAGGAUGCUGAAUAGUGCAUAUCCCGUGGUUAUAUUUAGCAUCCCCAAGAGGAAACUGAGGCUGGAUGGAAGUGGCUUUGUCUACUUAUCCAUGUCCCAGGUGAUUUCCUUGACUGUACUGGACCCACUUUGUCAAGAAAUGAAGUACCACAUUUACAACCAUGCUCCAACUCUAGGAACAGCCUGGCAGCCUUCUUCUGCCAAACUCUUUGCUGUACACACACACACACACACACACACACACACACACUGCUCCUGCUAUGCACCUUCUGAAGGUCCUGCCCAUCACUCAGCCUUGGAAGCAGAACCCACAAACAGCUUGAUCUGCCUUAACUUGCAGAAUUGAAUGUCCAAGUGAGGACUCCGGCCUCAGGCUGGCUGGUGAUGUGCUCUUGUGACCCAGUGCUGAGAUAACCAAAAAGCAGUUUCCUGUCUAAAGACAGGAACAAAAAAAAAAGAUUCUAAGAAAUGGAAAGAGUCAUUGAUUACUGAAGGGAUGUGCUGGCUCUGGCAAGCGCAUGAUAGAGGUGGAGGAAGUUAGGUGGGACAGUCCCCAUCUCUAUGUCCAGUACAGCUGUGCCAUCCAAUUCCUGGCCAUGUACACAGGAUUUUCCACAAGCUCCCUGCAGGGAUACUUUCUGCCUGCUCAUAACUGCCAUGGAAGCAUCUGUGGCAGCAUCUGGAUGAUCUUUUGGAGUCUCACUCUGCAUUCUCACACUUUAGGGAGGGAAGGCGGUAGACUCAGACUCUGGAGAAGGAAGAAGACGGAAUAAAGCAGGCCAAGUAGAUGAAAAUUUUCUACUUCACGUCUCAGUGACUGGUUCAUGGAGAGGGAGUGUGAUAAAAAUUCAUACAGUGAGACUCCAUGGUGUGGGAGGAUAUUGUCUCCAUCCACCUUGGUACUUACACUGAUGCCUGGGGCUGGGGGGGGGGGGGGCAGGGGGCAAGGGAGAGGCAACUCUCAGCAGCUGUUUACUAUCUUACUGGAAUUUAGUGUGAGUCCCCCAGAGACCUAAGUCCCCUGGGAGUACAAAGUGGGGCUCUCAAAAAGCAGAGUGCAAGUGACACCUUUUAAAGCCCCUGGAUCAAGCCAUUCCUAACAUCCUUAAAAUCAUCAGACACUGCUUUUUCAAACUUAAAGCUGAUACAGUUCCUUUCCUCCUCUUCCCCUCCCCCCUCACACAAUUUAAACAGGUACAAGGGCCCUUCCAUAGUCAGAUGAGUGGGAGCAGCUCCCGUUCGUUCUCUCCUUUCCAACCUCCUCCAGGUUCUUGUGAUUAAAAAACAGAAAAAGUCAGUAGACUAGAAAUUUCCUUCCAACUCCCAUCCAGUGCUAACAGUAUAUUCAUCAUGGGGCCAUAUUUUUUACCAGCCAGCCAGUCUCCAGUCUCAGUUUGACUCGAGUGCCUCUUAAAAGCUGAAAUUACAGGUGUAGAACACCAGACCUUGCUGAGAAAUACUUACUGUUGACCAACAAGAUGUGGUACUUAGUGCUGAUUUCACUCAAAUCCUAAGGGCCAGUGUAUGGUAAGGAAGUGGAAGUUUCUCUUCCGCAGGCAGGAGCAUCAGCUCAGGCCAAUGGAAGCAUUCCAGGGGACUCACACACUUCCUGCCUUGCCACCCUCAAAGGAGGCACUCACUGUUUGCUGGGUGAAUGAAUAAUGAGGAAUUUGUAGAGUUGGAGGCCAGGCCCGAUUUGUGCCAUUCACUAAGAAGACUCUCUUCUAAACAUCUUGUUUACUAUUUAUUUUAUGUGUAUGUGUGUGUUAACCCUUAUGUCUGUGCAUGUGGAAGCCACAGAGAGGAUCGGAUCCCCUGGAACUGCUUGGGAAUGGGACUUCAGUCUCCGAGAAAGCAAGAGGAUUUUACCUGCCGAGCCAUUUCUCCAACAGAAUUCUCUAGUUGCCUCUCAUGCUUUGUGUCAACAUGUGCGCUUUUCAGAGCGCACAGUGCAGUUCUUUGGCCAACUCCCCCCAUGCCGAACAUUCCCUUUGGUGGGAUGGAAAAGGGAGAGGAAAGAAUUGCACCGAUUUAUGCAUAGAUUUAUCCAUGUUUUGCUUUUAAGACCAAGUAACUCAAAAACCAGACGAAGUGCAACAUUUCCUUCACAGGAAAACACUGCUUUACAACCCGAAGCCUGGAGGUACAUUUAUUUGCCUGGAGGGAAUAAUUACAAAAUCUUGUUACCACUUCACUUACCCAGUCUUACAUUUUCAUGAACAAAUGUGGCUCAUGAAAACAAUUCUUAUGAGUUUUAGGCUAAGAAGGAGCCUGUUAGCUUAGAGAACCUUCUCCGAGGGGCUGGGCUGCCUGAGCUGACAGGUGGGGCUCUGAGACAGGUCUUUCUGAUAGCCACUUCAGGUCAAGCAAGAAAUGACACCUGUCUCAGAAUACACGUCAGGCCUCAGUGACAAAGGUUUCUGGCUUUCUCUCUCCUCUGUGGAUCUCUUUCAGUCAUAUAUUAAGCCUUGAAGCCUCUUCUUUUGAUUUAAUACCAAUAUUUUGUGGUUUAAAAAAAAAACUGCCAAGAUGAGCUUUAUCCUGUGAAUUUUCAAUUUCUCCUUAAGGUUUUAUUAGGUCAAUAUAGGGAAUAAAAUCAGAUGCAAAUUUCUUCUAUAAACCACCAUUUCAUCGGUGAUUUGUUAAGAGGAUUAUUUUUGAGAGGUUAGAAUGUAAGUUAAAAAUCUGGAUUAGCAAUCAUCAGCUUAGAAGGCUUUUUACAAACAAACAAUAGAAAACCACCCUACUUAGCAUCAAUAUCAUCUGAUUCAAGGGAAUCAGCAUGAUCAUCAACCAUCCUUGUGUUGUCCACCGCCUCUAAUUCACCUUGGCUACAAAGAAUUUGAGCCUCCCUCUUUAACAGACAAGGUUGUUGUUGGAAGAAAACUGGGACCUGCAUGAGAGCCCCUGCUACUUUAAAACAAGCAAUUUCAUGGUAAUGACCAUGUUCAUAGUAAUAAGUAGGAAAGAGAUUGGGGAUUUUUCAUCAUUAAAAGGAGACAACAUUUGGAAGAAUAAGCAUACAUAGAUUCUUUUUAAUAAAAUUUACCCAGUUGGCUAGUUUUUUAAGGGGGAAAGAACGACACAGUUGUUGACUUAUUUGGCCUAGUUUUCUUUGCUCAGACUGAUUGUCUGAGGGCUUGAAGGGCCAUCCAUGUCUUCUGUCUGUUCCAUCAUUAAUAAAGUGAAAAACAGCAUAGACAUGUACCAUUUUCCCAUGGUGCCAUAGCCCCCCUCAUCCCCUCACUCACCCUGAAGUCCCUGGGUUAUCAUCAAGCUUAUUAAAUUUUUCCAUUUUUAAUUGAUAUCAUUGGAUAUGCCAGUGACAUAAAGCAGGCUUCGCACAUCCCCUUUCAUCAGUUCCACAAGGACUCACAUCCUCUGAAAACUUCACAGCCUCACUUGGAAAGCAUUGCGCAGUCGACUUUCACUGUGUAUUUGGGUGUUGAAAAUACCCAGAUUAUCUAGAAAAAGACAGGCACCCAGAGUUCAACAUCAGCCUGGUGGGAGGCCGAGCAUCAAAUGGGGAAAAAAAUGUCUAGGGAGGGGCCUCAAUCGAUAUGUGCUCAAUUAACUCACGGGUGUUUUAACAGAAUGUUGAGUUUGGCUCACUUGCAAUCUCUUUAAACCCCAGCCCUGAGACAUGAGUUUCUGAUAUGGAGGACCCAAGGAAAUCCUUGUGCAGUUACUCUAUGCUGCUGUGAGGUGGGUGUAGGAAGGGGAAGCCUGUUCCAGUCAGUCUCCUACAAAAGGGCUGUGGCAGACUGUGGCCCAUGAGGGGGAAAUAAUACAUUUCAGGCAAGUGUAGGUUAAAUAAGCCCUUGAGGACCAGUCCAUGAACUCCACUCUAGUGGAAAAUGAGGCCCACAUUCCAAAGCAAUUUCACAACACACCCAUCCCCCCUUUUAAUAACAGCCCAUUUUUACAUAGGGGGUUGCCUAUUCUGCAAUUCUGCAAUAGUGAAUUUGUGCUCAUUGUGUUUCGGGAUCACAAGGUGUGCCUGUUUCUUUCCUGCGUAUCAGUUUGCAAAAAGUAAUUGCCCUGCAAUUCUUAAUCCCACCGUUCACGCAUUCCUUUCUGCAUUGUCCUGGUUUGUCAUGUCUGACCUGUCACCAAAGUGCUGAUCUUCCUCAGCUAAAAUCCAUUUCAGAGCCAUCUUUUCACUUCAAGAUGUCUGGUAUGAAGGUGUUCUGUUUUGACUAAAAUAGCAAAACAUUUACAGAGUGUCUUUCCCAAUCCCAGCACCAACAACAAAAAAACCCAUCUGCAAAUGAAAUGGUAGCACUUGGAUUUGGGACUAGAGGGUCGAUGAUUUUGUAAGUAUGACCUAAUGAAGAAUAAUUGAUAUCUUUACCCCUUUCUGUGCUACAUACCGCGCUAGCAUUUUACAUGCCCAGUCUUUUCUUUCUUUUCUUUUCCUUCCUUCCUUUCUUUCUUUCUUUCUUUCUUUCUUUCUUUCUUUCUUUCUUUCUUUCCUUCCUUCCUUCCUUCCUUCCUUCCUUCCUUCCUUUUUUUUUCUUUUUUCUUUUUUCUUUUUUUGUUUGUUUUGAGACAGGGUUUCUCUGUAUAGCCCUGGCUGUCCUAGAACUCACUGUGUAGACCAGGCUGGCCUCGAACUCAGAAAUCUGCCUGCCUCUGCCUCCCAAGUGCUGCAAUUAAAGGCGUGUGCCACCACCACCCGACAGCCCAGUCUUUUUUUAAUCCCCCGAUGAAUUUCCCUGUACAGUUUCACUCUUCUCUAUGCCCAUGGGCUGUGAGUGCCAUUAGGACCAAGAACUGUUGCAUCCUCUUAUCGAGAACAGCAUCUGGAACAGAGCUAGUACCCCAUAAAUAUCUUCUGAAUAGUAAAACAAACAAACAAACAAAACACUGUACAGAUGGAGAAACUGAGGCACUGAGAAGUCACUUAUAAGCAAUUUGUCUAAGGUCAAAGAAAGAGUAAGUAAAAUAUUAGGCUUCAAAUAAAAUCUCGUAGUAAAACCUACAGUCUUCAAAGAUACAUCUCUCUCUCUCUCUCUCUCUCUCUCUCUCACACACACACACACACACACGUGCACGCGCACACACACACACACACACACAAAGUGUGUGUGAGAGAGAGAGAGAGAGAGAGAGAGAGAGAGCUGAGCACCCCACUGAUCCACAAAUUCUGAGAGGCCUGCCUUGUCCAUUUUCACCUUGGACUACUGGUCAGCCGCUGAAGGAUGCAUUCCUACCCAUCUAACCUAACCUGUCCUUACUCUGUUGGUAUAUUUAACUGUUUCUUGGUAACAUCACUAUUCCUCCCCUGUAGUGUGCCCCUGAUCUAUGGACUACUAAUUACAACCACCACAAGGUCUAUAACCAACUGGCCUUGGAGAAUGGCUUUUUGGCAGCAGCUGUGAAAGCUAAAUAAAGUUAUUUGGAAAUUAAUCUGAGGUUGAACGUUGUCUCACAAGUUUGGCUUUGGGAGGGAUGAAAGGAACCUAUGAUGUGGUAUAUAUAUACAUGUGAUAUAUAUAAACUUAGAUAUAUAUCAUAGAGGCACACCCACCAGUAUACUGACUGAAAGUUGAAGUAAAAUUAUCAAAGGAUAAGAAGGACUUACAACUGUGAUGUAAAACAUCAAGAAAUAUGUCCUGGAUUUCUGCAUUCUGCCACGUUACCAAGUAUGCUCUGAGCUAAGGAGAGUUAAAAGGGAGAGCAGGAGUGAGCAAAUUGAAAUAUCUUUAGGUAGACUUAAGUAUAGCUUCUGAGAUUACAAUUCAGAUCAGGGCUUGAGAUCCAUUUCAGCAUUCCUCAAUUGCUAGUCAUCUGACAAAGGCCUGCACAUAGGGAGGAGGCAGGCUGCCACUGCCUGAGAAGGGGUGCUUAUCUGAUCUUAGCCCAUCUUUCUUCAGGUUCCAAUCCCAGCACAGCUGGCCUCUACUCACAGAGGGCCUUGGCAGUACAGUACAAACCCCAGCAAGCCGAAGGCUGAUGCUUGUGGUCCUGCAGGGUGCCUUCUUUGUAGGAUGUGUCUGGCAGUAGAGGUGGUUUGAGGUGGCUGCUGGCAGUCAAGGGCCAGGCUCUGAAAUAGGGUAGUCCCCACUUGUACCCUGAUGGCUGGACACAAUGCCAUGGGGAAUGUCCACAGGACCACAAGAAAGUAAGAAAUGAUGACUCAAAGGUGGCAAGUCCCUUCCUCUCCCCCCAAAGCCAGAAGUGGGAGGGGCUGAUGGGCCCUCAUUCCUUCAUUUAGUGUUCCAGCAUUCACUCAUCUACCUAUUCAGUGACUGAUCUGCUCAUCAUCCUUCAAAGGGUGACAGAGUUAGGGUUUAAAAUUGGGAGUGCUCAAGGCAUGCUCAUGUUUUAAGCAUUUGGUUCCAAGCUGGUGGUACUGGUUUUAGAAGGCCAUGAAACUUUUGGGACACAGGCCUAGAUGAUCGAUGUUGCCCUCUGAGGAUGGGUUUAGGACAUAUAUGGCAGCUAUAAUUCCUCUUCCGUCUCUACUCCUUGACUCUCCAUUUGAUGACAGCCACUGCUGUGGAGCUGUUCCACCAGGCCUUAGCCUCUUUGGUGGUCAGAGCUUCUAGAACCAGGAGUCCAGGUAAGUUUUCUCUUGAAACUUUCUGUUAGGUGUGUCACCACAGUGAGGAGAGAAGAUAACACAGGGCAUAAAACACAGCCAUAACCAAGCUCGGGAUUUGGAAGAGCACAGAGUGUCUUUUGUGAGACUUCCAGGGUGCUCCCAAGGCUGACCAAACUCCAGCAUCUUCAUCUAUACAGAGGGAACAUCAACAUAGCUCACCCCUCCAGGGGAUGUGGCCCAGAGGCCCUGAGUAUUCCCUGAGCCCCUGAAAUAAUUGCCUGGUACAGAGGGAGUACUCCAACCAGGUACGGUUGGUGGUUCUGUGAAAGCUGCUGCAAAGCAGGUGACUGGUGCCUGUCUCUGAGUGCCAACUGAGCAAGACCUCUGCUCUGGGUGGCUGUCAUUGGGCAAAAGAGCAUAACUCGUGAGCAAGAGGGUGUGUAAAAAGUGAAAACAAUUAUAAAGACCAGAGGAAAGUCCCUCAGAAGAUGUGAGGAGUCUAGGGUCUGUCUGCCAGGAAACCCUGUCAUGCCUGCCUGACAACCGUGCCUGCAUAACUUCACCAGGGAACAGGAACAUUUGCCCCUUGUGGGAGAGAGCUUACCUAGAGCUUCAAGUGGCCCAAGGAUCAGAGAAGUCUAGCCCCUUCCAAGACAGCUUUGUGGGUCACUGUGGUUAGGAAAGGGAAACACACUGGGGGGUGGGGUGGGGUGUCUGCCAUUCUAUGCUUCUGCAGAGUGAGGCCCAAGAAGGACACAGGAGGUAUUAACACCUCAGGAUUAUUUCACAUGCUAGCUCCUGAGACCAUCAGGGGCACUCUAAGCUGUCGCCCUACCUUCUGUUUGGCGUUCCACGGCCACCUGCAGAUGCACAUCUGUGAUGACUUGCAGGGACACACACCAGAGUGUACUUCUGUCUGCAAGUCUGGCAUUGCUCACUUGCAUAUUUAAAACCCUAGACGUUCUACAAACGUUUAACUGGCUUGGUUUAAAAUUAUCUCUCCUUAAUAUACUUGUUAUAUUCCUGUACUCUCAUAAUAUCCAUGAAGAAGUGUAGGUCCAGAGGACGGGGCUUGCUCAGGGUCAUAGUCAGGGACCAAGCUGAACUAGAUUCUUGUACUGAGAACUAGCUCUCCAUUGUCUUUCUCAUUUUCCCACAGAGCAAAGGUAUCCCUCUCAUGUGAUGCUGCUCUGGGAUCAAUGGUGACAAUAUGGACAUGCCUGUCAAACAAAAGCCACUCAAGGUGACUGUCUUUUAACAACUGACUGAAAACAAAUGCCAAAGGUGUGCUUUUAGAUGUCCGAUGGGGAAGAGAGGUUUGAAUCAGAGUCACUGAAGGAUAGACUGGUGGGUUCAGAGGGAGAGGCAGGCAAGGGAGAAGAUUCAGCACUCCACAUAUGGGACAACCCUUACUGGCCUGUGCCUCAGUUUCCUCAGGUUGGAGUUAAAGAAAGUGCCACCUUUCAGCUCUGCCCACCUGUCACCCUAACGUGAAAGGCCUUGUAGAAUCCACAGUAGCCAUGUUUCUAGGGAACCCCACACCAGUACCAAAAUGCCCUCCUCUAGCACAGUGAUUGCUAUAUCUGCCUUCUCCCUUGGUCAGCCCAGCAUGGCUCCUCGUCCUCAUACUUUAGUAGGCUUGUCCUAGUCCAGAAGCCCGGCCCACCUCUUCUGCAUCCCACCACACGAUCUUUCCCUUGAGUUUGUGGAUUGUACCUCCUUUGCGCCAGCUCUGUCCCAGUCAGGGAGUCUCCUCACAGAAUUUUACCUGAGAGAAUAUACUUGUUCUUCCACCUCCUCCCUUUGAACUCACCACUAUCUAAAAUGGCCUCCUGUGUUCAUUUAUACCUUAGUGUGUGAUGCUGGUUUCUCUCAAGGAAGGAAGGAAGGUUCUCAACUGCUCUAUUUACUGCUUAUUUGCCUGACACAAAGACCUGGCAAGAAACAGGUGCUUAGUCAGUUUCAAUUAGAAUAAGGGGUAUUGAUUUCUGUGAAGAGACAGCCUGCUUGUUCCUUCCAGGCCCAUGGCAGACAGAGCAUGCCGGAAGCAUUGUUGCAGAUGCUUAAAUGGUCCCUCACAGCACAUUGUAUGCACUUGUUCCUUGCUAAUGUGAAGGUAUGGUGGGGGUGGUGGUGGAGGGGCUGUCCUUGUGUUCUGUGAGUUCAAGGCUUCUAUUGGGCUCCCCAGGUCCCUCAUGGGGAUCAGAAUUCAGAUUGUUCUCCUAGAACCCAAGAGCUUCUUUACCAUGCCACCAAGGCUUUCUUCCAAUGGAGGAGGGACUAGCGGUAGGAAUUUUAAAGUACAUUGGAAUCAAUGAUGUCUUCUUCUUCUCCACAUGCAUCACUAGAGAGAAAGAUUGUGCAGAAAUGAUAAAGCCAAGCAGAAAACAUAACCCGUGCAAGUCUUGAACUCUGGGUUCUAGUCCGAGACUGGGAGACCCCAACCAACCCUGAGCAGGGCCUUCCCACCUUUCCCAAUGGUGAUCUCUCUAGUAUAUGGACUGACCCUGAAAUGCUCCAUCCCUGUUUUGACUCUGAGGCUCAGGCUCCAUAUGCUCCCUGUAGAAGUCCACAGGCGUGGGUCUGUUAGGGGUGAAUCUGAAAAUUAUAGCCAAACAAGUCUUUUGCCAAGGAAACCUCACACUCAGGGAAAAAGCAGAACAGCCAGCCAGUACUCUUUAAUUGAUGUUUCAAUUCAGACUCAAUCUGCCGUGCACAAGCUUGUACCAAAUGAGGGGAUUUUCGUACCCAUUAGAGAUUCAAGACUUUCCACACACUGCAAAAAUGUCAAAAUUAUAGCAGUGCCAACCCUCUCCUGUCUCAUCAUACCUGCUCCUGUAUAUUAGCUCCAAACCUGCGUGGUCAGCAGACUCUGCUACUGGCCAGAGCGCUCAGAUCUUCACACAUCCCCCAGGGCCACAGGACCACAGUUCUGUAGAGAUCGGCCACUCCCUCUCCUGUGAAUGUUCCAGAGCUGCAGGCCCUCUUUCCUUCAGAUCCUGUGGGCCUUCACUAAAUUGUGUGACAGCUUCAAUGUAAAUAGGACACAUCUGCAUGGGUUAAAAAAAUAGCCACAUGCCACGAAGGGCAGCGGGCUGUGUUUAUUUAUCAUCCACAACUGGAAAUCAGGUUCUGGUCUGGGUCCAGGACAGCCGAUGGUUUGGGACAACCUCUAAGACAUUUUGAAACAAUUUCAGCUGACUAUUGACUACAAAAAUUAUUCUCCAUUUAUUUUGUUUUUAAGUAUUUUCCCCUACUACCUGGAUGAGAGAAGAGAGCCAGCAUUUGCAAAGGUGUUUGGUCAUCUUGGACCAGGAUCUGUCAACACACAUGUCUGAUAAGACCUUUGCUUUAUGCUGGCGAUAAUGCACCUCUUUGGCUUUCUACUCUUGCCUGGAGACACAUAGUGUCAGCUAAAAGGUCUUCUGAGACAUCCCUUCCUCCAGUCCUCUUUACCAUUCAAGCAAGUGGUUGUCAUUGCCUUGCAUCAAGAAAGGAGGAAUGCAGAUGCACAGCUCAGUCUUCAUUGUGGGUCCUGCACAACUGGAACAGGGGUGGGGAAGCUCCCUCUAAAGCUGUUGCCUGUCCAUGGGAUAUGUUCUUCUAGCUGGGCUGCCUUGUCCAGCCUCAGUGGGAGAGGAUGUGCCUAGCUCAGCAGAGACUUGAUGUGCCAGGGUGAGGAGACACCCAGAAGCAGCCUCUAUCUUCUCAGAGAAGAAGGGACUAUGGGAGGGGAUACUGGGAAAGGGGCAGAAAGUGGAAUGCAAAGAGAAUUAAAGAAAGAAAGGAAGGAAGGAAUGAUGGAAGGAAGAAAGAAAAGAAGGAAGGAAUGAAGGAAGGAAGGAAGGAAGGAAGGAAGGAAGGAAGGAAGGAAGGAAGAAAGGAAGAAAAGGAAAGAAAGAGAAAAAAGCUGGAGUAUGUGCCAUAAAGACAGUUAAGCAUGCUGGAAAAGGUCAUAUCCUGGAAAGUGUCAGAAUUGGAACCUGAUACCACCACAGCCUAUUCCUCACCAUUGAGAGUCAAAACAGACAGACAGACAAACAGACAUGUACAUAUAUACACAUAUGCAUGCAGACACAUACAUGCCUACAAAGAAGUCUUGCCAGUGGAUAAAGGAAUUCCUUUAGGAAAAUGACAUGAAAGUUAUAAAAGUGACAUCUUCAGUUUUCCUUAGACAUACUACUUUAUUUCUAAAUAUCAUUAUAUUAUAUACACAUAUACAUUACACAAAAAUGGUCAUUUUUAUAGUCCGUUUUUUUCACAUGCCUACAUAAUUUUUAAUUCUAUUGAAUUGAACAGGUUGAUGGUAAAAGGUACUAGCAAUCCCACUGAUGGUGUGAGCUGUGGCCCUUUUACAUUGUUGACAGUAGGUUGGCUUUUGGGGGAACAGCCUUAGAAGACACCUGAAAAAUGUUACGGGAUUGCUGGUAACCUAUCAAAACAGCACUUUAAGCAAUAGCCAAGACUGCAUUGAUGUGAAAAGACACCCAUAAUACAGGACUAUACAAGAGACACUUAUAACUAAUUUUUGUAGCACAGUUUAAAUCUUAUAAAAACCAAGUGUGUGUAUGUAUGCAUGGAUGUACACACUCAUUUGUGUGAGUCUUGAGAAUGUGCACAGUCACAUGGUAGGAGAGGGGCUUAGGGGUGUUGAGAGGAAUUUCCAUCUGUAUGCGCCCUCAUCUCUAGCCUAUCCAACUUUUUCUAAGCUCAUCACUUAAAAGGCAAUAAAGAGGGAUGUUUGAAGUAUUGAUGGCCAACUGACACAGGCAAAUCCAGUCGACUGUGGCGAGUGUUGUGCGGUGAUUUUGUUACCCAGGCUACAACUCCUCUCUUGGAUGCCCUGCCUGUUGAUUUACCUCUGUCCCCCAGGGUACACAUGAUCUUAGGGCUGUCUACCUUUCUUCCUGGCUUUGAGCCAUUCUCACUCCUGGUUACAUAUCCCAAUGGUCUUACCUUCUGCAUGCAGGAAAAUCAACACAGUUGAGAAAGUCUUAUACCCCAGAGAAAGCUGCUGAACUGAGUCCAGUGGCUAAGGAAGGCAUACUCCACUCCUGAUAUUCAGAAGGUGGCCAAGGAACUCACAGGUCUCAGGGCCCCAGCUAAGCAAUGCCCAAGGCUUCACUUCCAGUUUGAGUCAGGCCAUGCAGCUGGGCCACCCACACUCAGCAUGUACAAUCUCAGUGUUUUAGAAGACAGAUGUCCUGGCUCGUCAGUGGGACACAGAUCGGGUGCUGGGUAGUAGCACCUGCCAAUCAAAUUGCUUUUCUGGUUGAUCCCACUUUCCUGAAGUUUUUAGAGCAUAGUUUCCAAUCUGACUUUGGUGUUUUAGGCUGAAGUUUCAAGGACGCAUCUGGACAAAAUAUGCUUUCCAUAUAGGCCAACAAUUUAUUUAUUUAUUGCUCAUGACAUUGUACUUGGCAGCUAAGAAGACAUAAAACAAUUUGAACCACUCUGAAGAAAACGGGUGCAGGGUUGUCCCCAGAGACCCUGAUGGAAGAUACUGAAGGCCAGUGCAGCACUGCAGAGCUUUCUGUGAUUGACAGGCAGAGUUUUGAGAGGCAAACCCAGCAAUGCCAUUCCUGCCAGGAGCUCCCAUAUCUUUCUGCUCCAGCUUCUGCUUUGGCACAGAAAAAAAGACCAGAGACAUAUGUCGGAAGCCACAUGUGAUGGUUCAGAUUGAAGCUAGUGUGAGGACCUUUGUCACCUGCCUCUAAUGCCACGGUGCAAGGACAUUUUGAAAACACAUAGUGCACUGCUAAAUUUGCUCCCUUCAGUCUUUCUCCUGACACCGAAGGUACUCGUCUCCUUGUCUAUCCUCUGCUCCAAGAACAGAGCUCAGCCAGGGAACUGACAGGAGGAGGAGAAAAUGUGCAUCCAGGCUCCCCAGUCUUCUGAUGGAUGAUGCUCAGGCCACUGCACAAGUCCUCUAGAACUUCCCACCAGGCUCAUCAGCAGGUAUCAGCCAUGUACCUAUUAGGAUUUAACAACUUCCCUUCAUUGCUUGCCUUUACCUUCCUGCCCUGUUCCACACUGCCCUCGUGGUGCUUCCUGGGUCACACUUUGCCACUGCCAACUGCUUGUGUUGCAUCCUUGUUACAGGAUCUGUUUAUGUGGUCACCAUUCAGACACUUCCUACCACAGUCCUGGCUAGCAUUUAAGACAGAGGCUGUCAAUUAAAGGUCUAUGAUUGUUCCUGGCACAUAGGCGCAUGGGCCUGAACAGUGUUUAAAAGAAUCCAAAUCAGUGUUCUUUUUUUUUUUUUUUUUAAAUAUAAGAUUUAACAGAUAAAUGUGAAUUCUUGGCUUUUAUUGAAAAGAAAAAUCCAGUUAGUUACCCUGGGCCUGCGUCUCUUUAUGGGACACGGGGUAGGAGCUGGAUGGCAAGGCUUCUUUAUCUAGUCCUUUCUUUUCUCUUCUCUUCUUUUUUCUUCUUCCCCUCUCUCUCUCUCUCUCUCUCUCUCUCUCUCUCUCUUUCUUUUCUUUCUUUUUUUUUUUUUUGAAACAGGGUUUCUCUGUGUAGCCCUGUCUGUCCUGGAACUCACUCUGUAGACCAGAACUCAGAAAUUCACCUGCCUCUGCCUCUCAAGUGCUGGGAUUAAAGGCGUGCGCCACCACUGCCCAGCCUUUAUCUAGUUUUUAGAGGUGAACCUGCAAGACUAUGCUUUCCUGACGGCCCAAGGCACUGCAUGGGACAAUAAGGUCUAGAUUGUACACAGGAAAACAUGUGGGCAGAGUGAUGGCUUGGCCAGGGGUACCAGGAUGUCUGUCAGUCAUGGGAAACCUACAGGAAAACCUGCUCUCUGCUGGCAAGUGUGUCUCUGUCAGAUGAUUGGCCAAGCUCUUCCCUUUGGGGUUUGGUGCUAGCAGACAAGGGGGCUUUUGCUGUUAUGCUUAUGUUUUACAAACAAAUACAAAUUAAAAAAACCAACCUCUGGAAAACAUGUUCAAAGCACACGUAAAGAUGAAUCUGGAACUCUAUUUCAAGCUCCUUAUAACUCCACUGUACAGGCUGUUCUUUCUGUAUGUAAAGUGGCACCUGAGAGUUCAGGAGAGACAAGGAUGUCAACAGAAACCAAGACAUCAUCAUCCACGCUAACCCUGAGUCUGAGAGGUUCUACAGCUAGACUGGUCAAAGCAAAGGGGAAGUCCAUCUCCAAAGAAGCAGCCUUCGACGUGGUUAGAUUCAUCUAGUCAACACUGCAAACCAGGGACCCCUGAGAUUGUUUUACUGCAACAGAUAUAUGGGCCCAAGUCCUUGCCAGCUUCAAGCCAACCCAGCCUCUCCUUUUGGGAAUCUGCAGGGAACUUGGUUAGACUGUGGAAGCUAGUUUCAUUUACAAUGGCUUGGGGCCAUGCAGAAGCUGGAAUGAGUGUACAUGGCAAGCACAGCCCUCUCCCUGCAGAAGCACUGGCUUAGAUAUAUGAGCUACAGCUUAAAAAUGGCUUAUGAGUACAAGUGGGACAGACGGUAAUGAAAAGGAGUGUGGCGUGGUCCAAAAGUCUGGAGUGCUGGACAAAUAACUCACUCGAGAGGGCAUCAGACUAAGGGAUUCAUUGAGCUAAUUCAUGGUGGAAUGACAGCUUUCAUGGGAGGUAACUACUGCAUUCUGUGGCCCUGUCCUCCAUUCUUCACCUGUCGGGACGGUUUGGUUGUUGGGAAAUGCCAUGCAAUCAUGGUAAGGUGCAUGCUAUGUAAAGUGCUAGGAAACAUCGAUGUAGGGGAAACACCCCUCCAAUGGAAUCAUAUUUAUCAUCAUUAUCAGUAUGGCUAUACCAUGCUACAUUUUUCCUCUAUAGUUCUGAGGUGUAACUUUCCCCAUGCAUGCCAGCAAACAAACGGACUUGAACUAGGACUUAAUUAUGGAUGCAGUUUCUAUUCUUCCAGACCCACUUCCAGAUCUACACUGGGCUCUGGUAAAUGGUGCCUAAUUGGCCUCAGUGGGCAAAUCAUUGAGAAGUAGGUUGAAUUGGGCUCUGAAAGAAUUCAGGGUCUUAGAUGACAUCUCUCAAAAUCUGUGUCUGUCUCUAAUUACCCUUGUUGACUUCCCUCUUCUUUUAUGUUUAUCCUCAGGUAGAUUCCUAUUCCUGCUGUAGACCUAUAGCCUACAACACUCCAUGCUUUCUCAUCUUGCCUUCCAAUCCCAAAGACUACUGCAGAAUUGAGACUUAGUGGUCAAGCACUGUCAUGAGUAUAUCAUUGAUGUAAUCAUGAAAGACCUAAUAUCAUUCUGGGAGGAAGAAAACCUAGAGAAAGUAGACUACAAUUGAGCCAGCACCACAGAACUGGAUGCAGGAUAAAUUCUAGAACUGCAGAGCCCAAACAGAAUCUCUUGAAGAAAACCCAGCAGCUAGCAUCAGAAGAGGGAAAGAAAACUAACAGGCAGGGGACAGCUGUAUAGCACUAUUACACACCAAAUGCAUUUUGUGCACAGGCUCAUGAAGUGCUCCACCCCCCACACCGUGUCACAAUAUUGGGAACUAUCUAAGUACCUGAGAAAGCUUAGCUAUGGGUUAUAGCGGCCACAGGUGUGCAACCAAGCGAGGCCCACCAAGCUUGCUGACCUGCUGACUCCAGCUGACUGCGAACUCUGCUGUGACACAUCAAGCCAAGAAUCAGAACACCUGUCGAGACAUCGCCAUGCCUCUGGUCACAUAAGACAGACUACAACUGGUCUGACCCUACUAGAGGCCCACAGAACACUUUGCACCUGCCUCCCUCUGAGGGUGAGCAACCUUCACCAAAGAAAAUAAGGGCAUGGAAAGCCUCCGCCAUUUGAAACUGUUCAUCCCCCGUUUCCGUGAGGAUUUCUGCUUUGUUUCCUUGAAAGCUUUUGUUCUUCUGUCAUCACACUGAAACCACCUUAGAGGAGUAACCUGCUCUGAUCUGGAAGAAGUCAACUACAGUGCUGCGCCUUGCCCUAGAAGGAAGACCUGUUUGCUCGAUGAUGCCGCGGACUCUUUCCUCCUACCUCAUAACAUCCAAAGCUCACUGGUCCUUCUUCGCAGGUAUCUCUGCUGUCCUGCUGUCUUCUCUGUACUAAUACAACAUACCCUUUAUACAUCAUGGUCUCAGUGGUCUUUGCAUCUGCUAGUUCUCCAGCAUCAACCCUGAUUCUCUCCACCAGAGGAAUUGCUCUGAAGUACCAACUCUAGAUUCACGCAACUGCUCAGUGUCUUGUUGCAUACUGCCUUACAUGGAAACUCAUUCUCUUCUAAAUAGUAGAACACUUUUCUGCUGUUCAUCCUCAAAGGAACUGGGAACAUAACAUCUUUAGAAUUCUUCCUGCUACCCUUGACUGAAUGCGUUUAAAAAUUGAAUCAAAAUUCAUGUCAACACAACACACACAUUAUGAGCCUGGCUUUUGUUAUUGCUGGAGUUGACAGGAGUUUAGCUUGGAGCUUUUUGUAAGUUGUUUGUUUUCUUUGGCCUUGGCCAUUCUGUCUCUUUUGCAUAGAUAUGUUGUUCAUGGACAUUUUUAUGCUUCCAUUAUACACACACACACACACACACACACACACACACACUAUACAGAUCAUGAUGACAUUCCUCUCUACCUUCUAUGAACCUGAACAACACUUAUUUUCCUUUUACCUUCAGCUGCGGGGGGGGGGGGGGGGCUCAACUCUGGCAUCCAGAUGCCCCCCAGCACUGAUCUGCAAGUGUUAGCUUUUCUAGCUGUCCUUUAAUAGCUCAUUUUAUUCAUCACUGUAUAUACUCACCUUCCAGGGCAAACUGUGGUAUAGAUAGUACAAAAGCCCAGUUCCUAUAUUUAAAUACAUUUAAAUGCAUGAAUGACUGAGAACAAGGAGGAGCAUGGCAUGUGCUCACACCUUCCCUGGAUGAAUGUAAGAUGAUAUUCUUAUAAGGACAACUGAGGUUACACCAGCACAGCAAUAUCCUACCCCGUGAGAUAAAAUGAUAGUAAUUUUGGGUAAUUAUUUCAAUUGACAUUCCUUUUGGCUCCUGAUGCUAUGUCCAAGGUAUAAACAUGUCUCUAUUUCAGCUUUUACCCCUGGAAUUAAGUGAUUGGUGUGAGGAAGUCAUAAUCUUUGACACAGUCUAGAGCCCAAGGAAUGGGGAAGAAACCUGAAUGUGUACUAUCUACAACUGGAAGAUCUGGGGAGGGAAGUGGGAAUUCUAGGUUUCUUUGACCAUCUCACUUAGAAAUCUUUUCCCUCCUUGUUCACAAUAUGAUGGUAUAAUAUUCCAAGGGCAUUAAAACAGGGCCAAAGGUUUUACAUGACGAAAGGCAUUCUUGAUGGCGAGUGUUUGCAAUAGUUUAAUAUGUUUACUGGGGUGGUUACUGUAUUCACCUUUGAAGCCUAAGUGUGAUGUCCUACAGAUGCAAGCCUGAGUCACAGUCCUGUCACUUAUCUUAGGGACCUAACCUCUAUGAACCUCACAACCCUUACUAGUUAAACAUAAUAAUAAUAAUAUAAUAAAUAAUAACAAAAUAAUAAUUUAAAAGCACCAGCUCUUCUAGGGCUACUAUUAAUAAUAAGGUACAGAAAGCACCCACUCUAGCCCCUACCAUGCUGGCCACACUUAGACAUAUUGCUUUUCUUUAGGAGCUAGAGAGAACGAAAAGGUUCCAGAUCAUCUCACCACCUAUCUCGGCUCUACUGAACACUAAGAUGCUAAGCCAACCAUGUGCAUUACUUUGCUGUUGCUGUCAUAGAAAUGACCACAGAGUGAGGAUCUUAACACGGCCACCCCACCAUUUAUCAUCCACUCCCGAGUUCUGUAGGACAGAAAUAUGGCAGAGUGUGGCUCAGCUAUUUGUUUGUUCUGGGUCUCACAAGGCCAAAGGCAAGGUGUCAGCCAGACUGUCAUGUUUUCUGGAACUCAGAGAAUGAUUCUACUUUCCAGACCUUUCAGGUCAUUGGGAACAGUCUGCUCCACGUGGUCACAGGACUUUUGGGAAUUGGUGGUUGGCCUAGAGUCCUCAACUUCUAGAGGCCACCCACAGCCUCUGGUUAGGGCCCCUUUCUCGAGGGGCUUUUUCUUCCUCGCUUGGAAUUCUCUGACCUCUUUUUCUUCUGUACCUCUCUUCUUUGCCCUUCCACAGUACCCCUUUCUGCUUUCCUGUUCCAUGUUAUUUUCUCCUUCAGUGCUAUGGAUGAAAUCCAGGCUUUAGUAAUUGUAGAGCAUGUGUUCUCCCACUGAGCAUAUACCCUCAGCUUCAACUGCCUCCUCUACUUUAUAGUGUUAAUGACUACUUAAAUGAUUCUGAAUACUUGGUUUGAAAAACAGUCUAGUUCCUUAAUUCUUUAAUGGCAUUAAAAUGAGAUUUUCAUUCUAUUUGCAAAGUCCCUGCACACCAUGCAUGGCUGAGUUUUGACCAAAUAACCAAAAGGUAGAGGCUGUUGGAGAGAAUCUUUACAUCCUGUUGAAUACUCCCUAAAUACUGCAUUUAAGAUUUGAAUCAAAAUCCAUGCCAGCAUAGAACACAAUAUUUGCUUGUUAAUUUUUUGGUCAUUUCUGGAUCUGGCUUAGCUUGGACCUUUGUUUGUUUGUUUUUUUGUUUGUUUGUUUUACCCCCAAAAUAAUGAGCCUUUCUCCUUCCCUUGGGCGACUGAAGCUCAGUUCAAUUUAGAGUUUUAAAAAGCAUUUAUCAGAGAAAUCCUCUUUAUUUUCUCUUUUCUAAUUUUUCUUCAAGGAAGUCUAUAGCACUUUAAGGCAUUUAAGUGUUAUAAAUUUAAAGUUUUUAUGUAUGAAGUUUGACUAGUGUCACCCAGUGGGGUCUAAAUCUAAGGGGUGGGUAUGGAUCCUGGCUUGAUCCCAGCAGAACAGCAUGGGCUGAGAACCUCGAGAUGCCAAUCAGAAUGCUUCUUCUCACUGGCAAACAACCAUGCUCUCAUCAGUUGAUCAGAUCCAUCUCACAUGCAGCAUCAAAAUCCCGGGUCUCCGUUCCGAAGAAAUGCUUGCAAAUAUGCCUAAAAUGCACGUAAAAAAGUGCUUCCUCCAGUCAUAACUGUCACACCAAGAAUGACAAUGUAAAUGUCUAGUUACUGUGGACAGUGAAGUCUGCGUUGGCAGAGGGAUGUCCUUACAAUGCUAGAACCACUUUUUGUGCCCACUAGAAAACACUGAGGUGGGUCCAACUAACCACUCUGAAGUAGAAUGGUUACCCAGAGGAGCUGUGAGGAGAAAAAUACAAACUCCCAGGAACCUGCAUUAUACAAUGUGGUAAAUGCUUCAUACAUGUGUUGUAGAUGCACACAAAGGGCACAUGUACUGAUCAGCAGGGGCCUGUUACACUGCAGAAGAGAAACAUAAAAUCACUGGCAGACAGCCUUGGAGGUGAAUUCUGACCAGAAAGACAGAGACGGAAGCCCUUUAGAUUCGGCACACAGUAGACGAUCAAUACAUACUGAAAGAAUAAAGCAAAUGGUCUUUUCAAGAGGGGAAAGCAUGCCCCUCCCCCAACCCCACUGCCAAUUAAAACAAGUCUACCAAACUCACGACUCAACCCAGUAUAUACAAGAUUCAGCCCACUCUUUCUUUACUGUGGAUGGGCAGGAAGGAAAUGCUUUUCAUUAUAGAGUGCAGGCAAGGAAGAUUUGGAAUGCAGGCAACCUUGCUAUAUUUUAAAAUAGAACAAAACAAAGAGGGCUCUGAAAAGCCAGAUCCUACAAACCAGAUCUUAACCAUGUGCAGCCCCCUGGGAUCUGCCUCUGGUGCUGCGCAGGGCAGAAGAGCCCAGAGGAAAGAGGAGCUUAUUUUCUGCAAUGGCAACCCCUUUGGCAGAGGAAUUCAAGAGCAAGGAUAAGUUCAGGCUAAGCUCCCUUCCUGCAUCAACCUUCAGGCCAUCUACAAGUGGCUGUUCUGGUGGCCUGGUAUCCUCAAAGGAGCUGAAAUAUUUCUUCAUCUUCAAAGGCAAAGAGUCUUGGCUUUGCCUGUCAAACAUCAGUGUAAAUGAAGCCCCCUCCAGUCCCUGAAGAUCACAUGUCAAGGGGCCAGGCUUGUAUGAAGGCUGUGGUGGCCUCUUCGUUCUUAGAGGCAGGACCAGAACAGCAGGCAGACUAUGACAAAAUGUUGUUAGGAUUUAAGUGGUGUUUUUGAGUUCUUUAAUGAUUUUUCCUUUUGGCUAAGUAAAGAAAGCAGACAGAAAUACCCCCAGUGACUCCCAGGAUUUUAAGACGAAGAAAGCAAGGAACCUGUUUCUGAAGGAUAGAUGCUUGCCCCUGGCUGCUGCUGCUGCUUCGUUUCUGUUUGUAGCCGGUUACGGUAUGCAGUGUGGCUACUCUGCAAACCAUAAGCUGGGUUCUAAAUUGUACCAGAUGCUCAUCUCCUAGCUUGGCCUCACUGCUUUCAUCAGCCUUUCAUAGUUUUUCCUGAUAUACACCCUUGCCAUUAAGAGUGUGGUCCUCACAUCAGCAUGAAUGUCACCUGGGAGCAAGAUGCUAGAGAAGCAAAGGACACACUGAUCUAACUGGGCCUUUGGCUUUUGACUUUGCCACCUCUUUCUCCUUCUCUCUAACUCUGGCAAGUCUACCUGGGCAAACAGCAGAAAUGCAGACCAUUAGGCUGCACCUGGGCCCCAGAGGAAUCAGAAUCUACAUCUAACAAGAUUACCUGUGGAUGCCAAAUCUAUUGGAGGCUACUUGAUUCCUACAGUGUUAACCUUUUAGGCUCUGCUGCUAAAUUCUGAUCUCACUUGGCACCAAAGGCCAAUGAAGGGAGUCAUCUGUCAACAUGUUAAGUUGGUGUGCUUGCUCCUCCACCAGAACUGUAUAAUAUAUUCUAUAUGUAAACCUGCAUUUUUUUUCAACCUGAGCACACAGGGUUCCCCUCCCCCCUCCAACUCCCAUGAGUCAGAACUGGUCCUGAGCUGAGAAUCACCAUCACCACCAAGGAGCCGCCAGGCUGUGUUAAUUGCUUUCUGGGUGGUGGGGAAGGGGGCAGGGAUAGCAUCUUGCCUUUGAUCAGGAGGGAGAAGUAAUGGUUUUACUUACAUCCUGCUUUGUCUCUGCACAGGCCUAGAGGUCGGGAUACAUUUCAAGCUCCCUCUUUCUUCCUGGUAUUCUGUUACUGCAUACAUACCUCCACCCUGGGCUUGGGGGUGUGGAAAGCAAAUGUGCUUUGUGGUACACCCACAUGACAAGCUUCAAAAUGGAAACAAUAUUUAAGUUAAACCUGGAAGAUCAAGUUUGCUCAAAGCUCACAACACAGGGAUCUUUUGAAAACGUUAGCAGCAGGUCCCUGUUUGAUGGAGAGAGGCAAUUCUUGAUGGAGAAAUGAGGCCCCAUGAGCAGAUGCCAAAUUCCCACUCAGCUGGCUCCACCCCACUUUAUUCUGUAUAAACACUGGAGAUAAUAACAAUACACCUAGGCAGAGCCUGCAGAAUUUCAGAGUGACUUUACUUUUUAGGUACAUAAGGAGCGUUUCUGGAGCCGGGUAAAGAUGUGGCGCAUAGGCCCAGGAAGGGUUCCAUGAGAAGAUGAAGGUAGAGCCAAGGAUGAGAGGCUACAAGCUAAAGAACAACAGAGGAGAUUGCCCUCAAGCCACCAGAAAUCUAGGGAACACAGGACAGAGAGACAUCCUCUCAGCACUAGGAGACACCACUCUGUCCACAUCUUGAUCAAAGUUUUUGGUACUUUGCUGUGGUAGCCAUGGCAAGGAAAGAUGCUAAAGUGAAGCACCCUCCUGGUGCAAAUGCUAACAAGGUUUUCUGUUGCUCAGCACUGGGCAGUGAGCUCAUGAUUAUGUCAUGGCCCACAAAGAUUACCUCUGGGAGAUAGGGCCUGGGCAUGAGGACCCAGAGGCUAGAGUCUCUUACAGGCUGAGGUGCUUUGUCAGGAUCCCACAGAGAAUACAUAGCCAGACUGGGUUUACACAUGGGCAGUCUAAGCCUAGACCCCAUUUUCAGGCCCAGUGGGCAAGACACUUGAUAGAAGUCUAUAGGAUAUAUCAGAUAAUGAUUUUAGGGACUAUUAUCUCUAUUGUAAGGUAGAAACUAACAUUCUAUCAUUUAUAUUUUAUAGGAGAAGAAACAGAGGCCACUUAAAUUCAAUACAUGGCCUAGGCUCUGAGAACAGCUAGUGUUGGAGUGGGAUUUAAACCAGACCUGUGAAGGCUCUGGAUGCCCCAGUCAUUGCUUGCAGCAGGGGCUAGGAUCUGCUAUGCUCUUGUGUCAGGUGUCUCCCUCUUUAGAACAUCACUCCACUCUCUGCACCUCCACCCAACAAUACACCCUGAUUAGCAUUCCAUUCACCAUGCCCUAGUAUGUACACUAUACCCCAGUGUAUUCAGAAAGCUUCCCUCCCUUCCUCGGCUCUACACGGAAGUUACCCUUCUGCUGAACAGCGAAGCGGCUGGCUUCCUGGAUAUAAAGUGUAUGAAGUGGCUUCAGCUAGUAGACCAAAGUUCAACGGUCUAAGUGAAUUCCAAGAAUUCUUCUAGGACAUGCAUGUACAUUGCUUCUAUAAGUAGGUAUGGUAUUUUCAAUUGGGGGUGACUUUGCCCACAAGGGAACAUUCAGCAGUCUUUGGAAUCAGUUUUCAUUGUUGCAUGAGGGUGGGGGAGGGAGGAAGGAAUGCUACUAGGAUCCAGUAUCCAGAGACUCAUGGAUGCUCUUAAGGAUCCCCCAAUAUACCUUAUGCAAGACCAAGAAGUAUCUGGUCCUGAUUGUUAAUAGCACAAAGAUCAUAAACCUGGAAUACUGCAUUCCAUUAUAGAAACCAGCUCCACUGUUCGCUCUCUGCAGCUUCCUGGGGACAACUUUCAUGAACUCCCUAGGGUCCAGUUAUCUUGAAAUUAGAACUGCUAAGAAGGUCUGCCUCGUGAGUUUGUUAGAGGUAAUAAGUUGGUACAUAACAAAUGUAAACUAUGUGGCAGGGUAAUGGCUCAGGGAAGUUGCCCUUAUUAUUUCUGAAGCUGGACGUUAAGCAUCAGACUACGGGGCUUCAAGAGCUGUUGUGUGGUAUAAUUUGGUCAUUUUAGCCAGGGCAAAGAAUCUCAGAAUUAAGAAUGGCUGACCUAGGCACUUACUGUGUUUGUACAUACAGAGCAGGGUUCAGCAUAGAGGAAACUCUUGUUUUAACUGAAAGCAAGCAUAACAAAUAAUUUACACUACCCUCUCUAAAGUCCUUCAAAGACUCCAGCAGCCACCUUUGGAACCUUCUCAAAGGUUCCCACUUCUCAGUGCAGUUAGCAUGUUGCCUUCACAGCCCUAGCGAUUGUACAUGGUUUAAAGGAUCCCGUUCACAAAACAACCUCGUUAAAGCAAUACUAGAUCCCCUACCUGUUUUGUUUUUGUAGUUUUUAAUUAAGCAAAAUUAGUUCUAAAAUAUCUGGGCUGGAGAUCAAAAAGUCUUCUUCCUGUGCUACUGUUUGCCCCACUACACUGUUAACUAUCAUCUUACUUUAUACCCCCUGCCCCAGCCCUUCCACAAUUAGAGUUUUAAUAAGGUGACAUAGGCUUUUGUUGGUUAGAUGGAGUGCUUAGCACAAUGCUUAAUAUACAUUAUACUAUACUAUGUGUAUUACAUGAGAUAUAUGGUGCACAAUUACUUAUAUGUAUAUAUCUAUCUCAUUAUUUGAUUUUCCAGCUGACUCAUUGUGAGUCAGCUGAUGCACAAACUUUUAGAAAUUAACCUAUGUGGGGACAGACAUUGCACGAGGCUUAGGAGCUGUGUCUUCAGAACACUUCGUCUAUGAUGGCUCCUAGCAGUCACACAGGAAUGAAGAUGUGGCAGAAGGUAGGGUGGUAAAUGACAUAACUAAGUUCUAGACAGGCUUCUCUACCUCCUUAGAAGCUCUAUGCAACCUCUCUUCUUCAACUCAGGGUAAGACAAGACUUAUAUGCUGUGACAGAAGACAAGCAAGUACAGCCUUGUAUGGACAAAGAGAGCCUUUGGCGUAGGCUACCUUACACCCAGGACAAGUAGGUCUCAUCGCUGUGACUCUGGAUCCAUGGCUAUGCAGCUCAUGGGAUGCCAGUGGGGUCUGUUGGUUCCUACUAUCCCACACUCUUAACACUACUGCCGUUUCCUGUCCUCUUCUUACUUCCUCUGUACCUUACCCUUUCCUCAUCCAGUCCUGGUGUUCAGGCCACACCGGCGAUGCAUCUCUCUGUCAACUGUGGAACUCUUCAAGCUGAUAUCUAAAAACCUACUUGAUGCUAGUUUAUAUAUUAGGAAGUCACCUGACACUAAACAGGAUGUUUUUGAAUUCUCAUGAUCAUAUCCUUACUUUGAAGUAAUUAAGAGUAUCGAUUUUACUCCUCAAGUUAGUGCAUGCUGCUAAUUCCAGCACCUGAGAAAUGGGGACUGAAGGAUAAGAAGUUCAAGUUUAGCUUUGGGGCUAUAUAGGUACAAGGGUAUCUUGGGCUACAUGAGACCUUGUCACAAAGAACAAAAGAGAAAGAAAGAAAAAAGAAAGAACAAAUAAACAAAAGAAAGAAGAAAAACAAGAAUAUUAGUUAUUUGGGUAACAUAGUCAAAAGAAGGGACUUUGUCUAGUUUCUGUUGAAUUGCACAUAGUAGGUACUCGAAAAAUAUUGGUGGAGCUCAUUAUUAAACAUGCAGGCAUUAGUUAAGCCUCAUCUAUUGUGGUAUGUGACUCUUUCCCCUCCCAGUGUCCUCUUUCAUUUCUUUUCAAAUAAUCUGAAUAAUUUGUAGGCAGGGGAACAGGGGCUUAGCCUUUAAUCUCAUCAACAAAGGACCUUCCAACGAGGAGACAUUCUUUUGGCUGUGGUUGUGGGCAUUUCAGAUAUAAUUACAUUUUUCACCCUAAAAUUUCCCAAUGAGAUUAAGACUUAAGCACGACGCCUCCAUAACCCUCUCUCAGAAGUCUGCACUCCGAGCCCUACCCACUUUCACACAACUUCUGAAGGAUACAGCUGCUAGCAGCCAUGCGACACGGAGCACAAAGGUCUGUCAUUUGAUGAUGCCCUGCUUGCACAAUUCCUUGAAACCUCUUGAGAAUGCGUCACCACCAGCAAGUGUGCACAUGCUUUUUUUUUUUUUUUUUUUUUUUUUUUUUUUUUUUUUUCGAAGGAAAUACAAUCCAGCCUUUCUCAACAAGCUGUUUCCAAUAUUUCCUGUAUCUAUUCAGGGUCAGGGGAGAUAACAAGAGCAGUGUCUGGGGAAAAGGCAGCUUUAGAAUUCUUUUAUGUAAUCUUGCUGGGUUUAGGGUAUGCGUUAGAAUUUCUCCUAACUUUAAAACAUGGUGAUCUUUCUCAAGUACCUGGAAGUUCCAAUCCUCUUCACUAACCUAAUUAUAACAGGCCACUGAUGGUGCUAGUCUACUGUGAAUGCCCAGGCACUGAAUCUGGAACCUGUGAGUAUAUAAUUUUUAUUGCCUAGACUGCUUCCUCAUCCUUGUGAGAAUUAGCUAUGACCCAUUUUUUUAACACGGAGAUAUAUAGGAAGAUGGUUUCCAUUUGUCACUUUGGCAAGACAUGUCACUGUGGAGCAGGGAUAACAGGUAGAUGAGUGCUCAGUUUCAACACAGCAUAGGAGAUAGGCAGUAAGAUCCUAAGAUCCUUUUACUGGUGCUUCCAGACAUCCUGGCACUGCCCUCCUAUGCACUAGAGUGUCAGAAAACAACACACAGUUAUUUCAUUGGAGCCUCAUAAGAACUUCAGAUCGAAGGAGAGGGAAAGACCAGUUUCUCAUUUCUAGAUCAAAAUGCUGAAACUCAAGGUAUUAAAUAAUGAGCCAUGAAGGGCAAGCUCUAGAAUACACAGAUACCACUUUCAAUCCCCCAAAACUUCUACAGGCAGAAUGACUGUUCUAUUCAUGGAAAAGGAUGAGCAGGAAGAGGCAAAGGUGUUGGAAGAAGUCAUGAGAAUAGGGAAAUGAAGUGGUUAGUGGGAAAGGGUCUAGCGAAGGAGAGGAAGGAGAUAGGAACCUUGGUUUACUUCAUGGUCUCAGCACAAAAGGCCUGUCUUCAGUUGCCCAUGGGAAAGGGGGUUGGUGGCAAGCCAAAAGCAGUGAUCUGGAAAGGUCAUGUGAGGGAUACAACUGAAGCCAAUGCAGUAAGUAAGAUACCCACUGAGCAGCUUUGGAGAAAGACAUGCCUGGUUGUGAACCCAGCAUCCCCAGUCCUCAGAUUCUAGACUCUGGUGAUGAGCAAAGAGUUCCCUCUCUCUGUUCCCAUGUGGUAGCUGCCAGGUGAGGAGGCGAAAGCCCUUGGAAUGGUUACAGAUAGCAGGGUUCAAGCCAGUUAUGCUUAGCAAACAAUGGGGGAGGAAAAUCAAAAUAACGUUCUGUGACUCAUGAAAUUUGUAUGAAAUUCUUGUGUCACUAUCUACCAAUUCACUUUACGUUAGAAGUUCACCAUCUUCUUUCCCUAUCCAUCUGGCUGCUGGCUGCAUAGAUACUGCAAUGAUAGAACUGAGUAGAAGCAUCUGAGCCCUCAAUUCACCGUGUCAUGCUUUGCUGCUCUUCCCAACCCCACUGUUAAGGUAGCAAGGCUGCCUUGAUAGCCUUUUAAGCUAAGCAUCUGUCACCUAUAGAUAAAACACCACUUUCCCACACAUUCCAUGCCCUCGAAUUCAAUACAAGACCUAGGAAGACAAGAUCAGUUGAGUUAUAAGCAAUGUCCUUCCUGUUUUUCAGAGUUCUGCUUUGAGGGCACUGGCCAUCCUUACUGGGCUUAUAAAAUUCUCCCCAGCCGUAAGACUUGUGUUAGCAGGGGCAAAUGAUGCUCCUGGACUCUGGUGCUUCCUCCUUUGCCCUUUUUUGACUCUCCAUUCCAAGGAGGGAAAGAUAAUUCUCUACUGUGCCUGUUGUACUGAGGCCCGGGAGCCUGAAGAGCCCUGGCGAUUGGCAAUGGGAAUGAUACAGCCACGCCCCUCCCUUCUCAGAAGAAAGCAGGCCGCUCUCUAGUUUCCCAGCACGUUGCCCAUCCUCAGACAUACAAGGCUGAGAAGGAUUUCUUAUGACAUGUUUUCAUCAUGUUCCCAAGUUUGGGCCUGGUGCCAAGGAACGAGAACACAGAGAAUAAAUAAAACCGUAAAACCAACCAAAACCAACAGCCACCAGAGCCAGGACUAGAAGCAUCAGUUUACAGACCAGUUCUAUGAGGCAAAGGAGACCUGCUUUAUAAUGGCAGCUGUCAGAAAUCAGAGUGUAGACAAGGGAGGAGCUAGGCAAUCAUAUGAUCUAUUAAUUAUACUACAAGCUGAUUCAAGGUCUCCAUAGUGUGUCUCACACCCAGCAGGGGCAAGGACCCUUCAGAGCAUUGCCAGGAAUAGAUCAGCGAGCGGGGCAGUGGUAGUCCUCUCUGCUCCUUAGGCCUUGGUUCCCCACUCUGCCUGAUAGCUAAACAGAUGUCAGUGUUAUAAAGAGAUCCUAGUCCAUCCACGGGGAAAGAGAGGUGAGCGGUAAGGUUCUGUGACAACCAUCACAGGACUAGGAUUAUUGCCUUCAAAGGCCUAAGAGUGGAAACACAGCUUGAACUAAAUCUGUGCUGCACCGUGGUACAGCGCUUCCCAGACACGCUGCUCCUGGGACCCUGGAGAGUUGGCCUUCUGGCCCCAUCAAGGUAUGUUACAAGGCCUUAGCCCCACUUCAAAAUGAGAAGGUUAGAAUUUGGACUUUCUCUACAUGACAAUUUGAAAAUUUGUUUCUGAAUCCUUAUUUGAACUUUCUGAUUUUUCUUCUACAUACAAAAAAAGGCAUCGAGCAGUAAACACGAAGGGCUAGAGAGAACACAGGCUGUCCCGUGCAGGUGGCAACUGCAACUGUCACUCUGGAACUAUGGCCUGGGGCUUCCUCUUAUCAAAGGUCAUUGAGAUGUCUUUAGUCACAAAUGACAUUUCCUUUUUAUUCUGGAUUAAAUGGGUUUGCCAGGUUUAUUGAGAGACAUGCCCUUCUCUUUCAAAGAGCAUAACAAUUUUUCUUCUAGAUGUUUCUAAGAGAGCAGUCGCUGCCACUCUGUCAGAGGUCCUAAGAUUCUUCUUGGGGACAGGCGGAAUCUGAAGUUGCCUAUACUGUGACCACCACCAAACACAUUCACAGGGAGGACCUGAUUUAUGAGCAUGCUCAGUGUGUGUCAACCAAACCAGAGCAGCCCUGGGAUGCAGGAACCUUCACGAAAGGUUGAAAGGAUUGGAAGAAUGCCUCCUUCAAACUCUUUUCAAUGAUUAAAAAAAAAAAACUUGUAAUGGCUUGAAGACCAGCUGUAAAGCAAAUGUGUCCUAGUGGUCACCGAUCAGGAUCUGCCUAGAAUGGGGCCCUGAAACCCAGACCUCUUAUCCUGUAAGGAUGAACCACUUGGCUUAAGGACUGGCUCAGCUGCUGUACUCCAUUGUUCUUCCUAUUAACACGAUUUACUGGAAAACAAAGCGAAAGGAAUACAGAUCCCUCUCGCAGCAGCAUCGUGCCAGGGCAGAAUGAAGUCACAGGAACGGGCAGGAGGGUACCUCGUGUGGGAACUACUGGCAAGGAGGCAGGGAAGCAGAGGGAAAACCACCUUUCCGGUUGGUGGAGCCAGUGGAGCACGGAGCCCUUCUUUCUUGCUGUGGGUGCUGUCUGGCUUCCGCAUUUGUUGAGAGCUUGCGGAAAUGCUUGGAAAGGGUUGAGGCUGAACGUAAAAGAAAACUAUGCUUCAGCCUGAGACAGUGCCCAUCAGUCAGAGGGCUGCAAGGUGACCUCUGAGCAUAUCUAGCAGCAAUGGCUAAGGCAAGGGACAAGAGCUGCCAUCUUCCUAAUCGGCAAGCCUCCCAGGAGGAAUCCAGAAUGCUGUCACUGAAAAUGCCACGCUGGCCUCAUAAUCUAUUGCUGAUGCUGUGGAUGAACUCAGAUCAAUAUACAGGACAGAAUGAAGUUCUACCCCCAUCUAGGGCCUCUGUUCUGUAAACUACUCAUCGCUGGGAACUGGGGAUCCUCUGAGAAGCAACACAUACAAUGUAUGAGGUCCUAAUUACAAGGCAAAAGUAAUGAAGCAGGGUAGUUACAAAUGAUCAAACCUAUUGCUCUGGUAUCGACCAAGACAAUAAGGGCACAGGGACCCUGACAUCUCUCAGCACUGGCUCUGGGACCUCCUCCUGCUCUAACCUAUGGCACACUUAUAGGCUGGACUUUCCAAUGUGUGCAGGCUUCCCCUCCUCCUUUUGGAAUUCAGGAUUUCAUAUUCCACCUACUCAUUUUAGCUUAAUUUCGCCAGAUGUGAGCGUCUGGAUUCCUCCAAGAUUUGCGCCCCCUCUCCACAUUCCUCCCCUUUUUUGGGCCAUUUGUAUGAUUUUUCUAACCUCACUCCAACACCUCCCAAAUUAGUGUCAUCCGUGGCUCCCCUCAUUUGCUCUUUACGCCCCUUUACAGAUCAUUAAUAAAGAGGUUAAGUAAGACCAGACCACCACACAAUGAAGCAAAUGGCAAGGGAGGGUGUGGGUGGGCAGCGAGCUCCUCAUGCGCCAUCCCUGGCAGGAGAAGGAUAUGCACAAUGCCACAAUACUCGGCCAGCUGCUUCCCAAGACUAGCCCAUGGUCAUUCAUCACUACGCUUUGUUUAUGAGUUCUUAGCCAGCUUCCAGGUUCUGAGAGUGUGAUCACAUCCAAGCCAAUAUGCAUAACCAUGCCAGGUACCAGAUAAUACUGAUUAGUUCCAGAAAAUCCGCAGCAGGACUGUCCUGUAUUCUCUAUCCUGCUGGAGGUUUUCUACCUCAUCUCUAAGCCCAGUACAUUGGACCACAGGGACAGCUGGCCUGAGAUAUCAUGGCCCUUUGCCCCCUUCCAACUCUCUGAGUCAUAACUGCUCAUUAAAUAUUUACUGGCUUUUCAUGUUACUCGUUAGAUUUCUCUCUUACUUGAAAGAAACCCCUGGUAAAAACCAUGGACAACCCCAAAAGUCUGCAAAAUUCAAGUAUCAAUGACAGAACAAAAUAAGAAAAACAAAAGGUAUUUGAAACCGGUGUGUUUUGUGGGAUAAACAUACCUGCUAGGAAACAUGGAUGUAGCUCAGGUUUAUCUGUGUUCACAAGAAUUGGUUUUCAGUUUUGAUUCUCCUUUUUUCUGCCUUUUGUUUCACUUCCCCAAGUCACUAGCCCCAAAGUGUCAAUCACUUUCCUUAGCUGACAGAUAGAGUUAUACUUACCUGUGGCAGGAGCAAAAUGCACAGUUACAGUCUACCUAGGACUGAGCCCCAGGCACGGUAAGACACCAUACCUAGCUCAGCUUAUCUGAUCCCUAGCACAGCCCUGCCAGCUGUGUACAACAUCCACCAAAAGAGGAAAUAGAGAGCUAGACCAUUAAGGCACCUGCACAGGUAACCCAGCUUAGCUCAGCAGUGCUGGGUCAAAGCCCAGACCUGCCUACAUUCAGAAGUCAUAAUGAUAACCAGAGGUGAGUGGCUCUUCCCUCGACCUCUGAAUGUGUAGAGAGGAUCACAGAUGCUCUUUUGAAGGAAUGUGUCCACAUCCACAUGGACUUCUCUGUUAACCACAGCAGUGGGUCUGUAGACUCUACAGGGUUUGUGACACAAAUAUAAAGGUUGUGAAUAGUCCUAAACCCUUCCAGGACAACAACUGCAGUUUUUUCUCUACCUGUCUCCAUUAUCGAAAUGAAGACACGUUUCCCCUGCAAUGAAACAUGGAAUUCAAAGACAGAGAAGAGGAUAUUGAAGUUCUACCUCUGAAUAUUAGCUUUACUAACUGCUCAUAUAGAUAAUAAAAAUAUAUAUACAGAUGGCUUCCAGAGGAAUAAUUUAAAAAGAGAUAGUAGCAACAGGGAGAGAAAUGAAGCUUAAAUUUCUCUGUUCAGAAAUUGAUUUUGUAACUGGAAGCAGAGACAUCAUCAUGAGUAUUCUGUAAUAUUUCAAAAUUGCUUCUGGGUAUUUCCCACUCUGGCCCUUGCAAAGAGAGCUGAAAUCUUCUUCUGCAGAACAAUAUUGAUAACUCUUAAGUUAUCGUACCCACGUGGGAAGCCCAGCACCAGUGACAGUCCCCAUGAGUCAUGCUUGAGGACAGACAGCUGGAAACCUGGUGGCUUUGUUCUCAGAUCAGCAGGGACCUGCUGGCCUCCUACAACUUCUGGGGCUUUGUUUUUCCUGCAGAAUACCCUCUCCAACUACAUCUGCUCAUCCCAUUAUUUAUUAUUAUUACUACCGUUAAUGUUUUGUAUGGUGCUGAAGAACAUAGGCCUUGUGUAUAGCAGUAUGCACAUUAUCACUGAGCUUUAAACCUAGUCCUUAUUUAUAUAUUUAUUUAUUUUGAAUAGAGGAAUCACUAAGUUGCCCAGUAUGACUUUGAACUCAUGAUCCUCCUGCUUCAGCAUCCCAAGUAGCUGGGAUUGCCAGCCUGCACCACAAGGAGGCAUCAUUUCUUUGCAAUCAUUGGUAAUCAAGUUCUCUCCUUUUCUUCAGAGUUGGAGAAGAUAUCGUCUCAAAAUUGGACUUUAGCCAUGCUUUAAACUCAGCUUGCAUAUCACUGCAACAGGAGGCCAAAGAUUCUCAUGCUGCUACACAGGCCAACGGGAAAGAGUGCAGGUCAGAAGCUUCCAUGUGCCUUGGCUAGGGUGACUGGACAUCUGGAGAAAAGAGAGCCCCGGAUCCCAGUUCAGCCCUCCGCCCUCCAAAGGCCUCUGUAGCUUUGACACCCACAGAGGCCUUCUCAGUUUCAUCCUUUCUCUGACCUCCUCUUCUAGUCCUCCUGGCUUCAUUUCCUGGUCUUGUCUCCAACUUGUACACUUGUGUUCCUCUGCACUGCUGCUGCCCCAGGUCAGCAUCAUCAAUUCUUUCAGAUGAUGGAACGGCCUCUCCUGCAUUCCUGCUGUAAAAAUGUUGCCUUUACAUAGCAGCCAAGGCUGUUCUCCAUCUACAACAAACAUUGAAUUAUGUCAUGGCCCUGCUUAAGAUCUUCCAGUGUCUACUCAUUUUUCUUAGGCUAGAGUCUGAGCUUUUUCUUUGGCCUUAAAGGCCUUAUGUAGUCUUGCCCUUUCCCAUCUCCUGUCUCUCUGUUUUGUCCUCUACUAAAGAGCUAUGGUUUUCAUAAAGGUUUUCCUGCUACCAGCUCUCUUAAACUUGUCUGUAACUAUUUCCUAAGAACAUACAUACACAUGGUAUAUACCUUGACUCUCCCUUUUUAAGCCGUGGCUUAAAACCUGCUUUCUUAUAGGAAACUCACAGAAUAUCUUUAUCCAAUGACUUCUGCCUAUAAUAUGUUCCUCCUGUAUUUUUCUGGUGUCUACCCAAGCAAUGACGAAAAUUUGCAAGAUGAUUAUUAAUGUGUUUAAUCAUUUCAGUUCUACUUCCCUUGUUUACAUGGUAAGAUUCACAGGGAUCAUCACAUUUAAUUUAUUCAUCAUUAUUAUCCUUGCAGGUA
Molecule: long non-coding RNA, 54774 nt
Organism: Mus musculus (house mouse)
Lineage: Eukaryota; Metazoa; Chordata; Mammalia; Rodentia; Muridae
Product: predicted gene, 52097
Exons: 3
Source: RefSeq, a predicted model, not a curated record